UUAUAUACUCUUAAAAGUUAUGAGACAUUGAACGAUACUUGUACAUGAAAAUCAUAGAAAAUUAGUUUUCUAACUUCUUCAUUACUUUACAAACAUCCACUAAGAUUCUAGUUAAGAUAAAAAAACCUAGUUAAGAUUUUUCCCUUCUUUCAUAACAUCCAACAUAAGGAUGUGAAUGAUCUCUAUUUGAAAGUUUUUUUUUUCAUAAAAGAAUUAGUGGUAUCAGUGCAAUAACUCAUAUUAAGUCAGUUAAUUAAAAAUUUGACAUAUAUUAUAUUGAUUAUAAGGAUCUACCGAUAUAAUAUAUUAUUUUCAUAAUAAAUAAAAAUUUAAAAAAUCAAUUUGACUAUGGUUGAAUGAAAUAUGUCUUUUGAGAAUUAAAAUAAAUAAAUAAAAAUAAUUUAACAUUAAACAUGGUACGUUCAUCCGAAGUUUAACAUUCUUCAUAUAAAGAUAUCUUGUAAAGUUACAAGAACAAUAAAAAAAACACAACAAUGUCAUGCAAACCAUACUUCAAAAAACUAGUCAACAACAUGUUUUGUUUUCUGUCGUACACAUUUGUUUUUUCAACUUUUUGUCGGUUAUCAUAACUAUUCAUAAAAAAUAAAACACCAUUUUAACGAACUUCUAGUGCUUUAGAACACUUAGAUUCUAAAAUCAUAUUUUUACAACCAAAAUCAACUUCAAGAACAUGACAUUUUUAAAAUCUAUGAGAAAAGGCUUGUAUUGAUGAAGGAAAAUAUUUGUUUAGACCAUAUCUCACAACACAUUACAAUAAUAAUAUAAUAUUUAAAAUUUAAAAAUAAAUUAAAUAUUAUUUUAUUAAUUUAUGAAGUGUAUGUUGAUUACUAUUUGUGAUGUUAACGUAUUAUCACUAUUAAUAAAUUAAACUUAGACUCCAUAGAAUAUAUAAAACAAUAAUAACAAUGAUAAAUUAAUUAUUCUACAAAAUGGUGUCGCAUCCACCAAUCUCCAUUUACUUCCUCUAACCAUUUUUUCCUCUGCAUGCUUGAAAUGGUUGCAAUGUAAGUAUAAAAUCUCCACUAUAAUCAUAUUUAUGCAUUAUUUUGAUUUACAAUAACUUAAUUAUUGUAUACUUAAAAGAAGUGUUAGAAUAAAAAUAUAUAUAGUUUGAGGUGCAUCCAAUCCCACCAAUUAGAGCCCAUGCAAGAAAUUUAUACAAUGAUUUUAUAUUUUAACUGUGUAAGGAAAUUUGAAAGUUUAAUAAUGUUAGGGUGUUAUGAAAGAAGCUUUGGUCAGCAACAUUCCAAAGGCAUUCAUUAAAUUCCAGCAAAUAAUGCUGAGAAAAAGAGAGUUUGUGAGUUAAAGAUGAGAAACCGUUUCAUUUUCAUAACAAUGGAUUCAUUCACAAUUCACAACUUGUUGCUAUAAAUACCAGGGAGUAGGAAGGGGAGAGCCAUCCGCAGAAGAAGAAGAUGAAGAUGAAUGCGAUAGUGGUGGCGGCGCUCGUGGUGACGGAGGUGCUGCUCAUGGGGGCUGCCAUUGACGCCCUGGAUGUGUGCGGUGUGUCGGUGACGGAUCUGAUGACGUGCAAGGCGGCGGUGACGCCUCCAUCGCCGUCGGAACCUUCGGACGAGUGCUGUUCGGUGGUUUCGAAAGUGGACAUGGAUUGCCUCUGCAAUUACAAGAAUUCUCCUCUCUUGCCUUCCUUGGGAAUCGAUCCUGAUCUCGCUCUUCAGCUCCCUGCCAAGUGCAAACUUGACAAGACUCCACCUUGUUAGCUCCUUCUCUUCCUUUUGUGAAACUUUACCAUUACCUCUAAUAAAUAAAUCAUUUUCUUCUUUUAUCAUUUCUUAACUAAAUCACACAUUUAACCUUUAAUUAAAUAUCAUUAAUUAAUUAAACGUGUUGGAAAUCUCAAUCGAAAUUACAACAUAUUAUAAUAUAUUAUAAUAUGUAAAUGUAUCUAAAUUUUAUGAGAUUAAAUUAGACUAUUUUUAAUAUAACAUCAGAAAUUUUUUGUUCAACUAAUCAGACAGGAAUUGCAGGUUAAAAAAAUAUCUCAAUAUAAAUAUGGAAUUAUUAUUUUUUUCAUAAUUAUUUAUAAACCAAAAUUAAUAUAUAUGUACUUACUCCCAGAAUAUUUUACAUUUAAUUUUUGCUAGUCAUCAAAAUAUAUACUGCAUUUACAGUAUAUUACAUAAAAAGUAAUAAAUCUAAUUUUUAAAAACAAGUCUAAUUCUACUAUAUUUUUCAAUAUCUAAUUUCGGUUGAGUUUUUAAUUAUUUUUAAUAUAUUCAAGAAACAUUUCAAUUUAUUAAAGAAAAUGACACGACUUUUAUUUGUUUUUACCAUGGAUUCCUAUACAAUUAAAAUUAUUAUUUUUAUAGAUAAUCACAAACUUAUCGUUUAUAUUUAAGGAAAAAUGUUGUAUUUAGCUAAUUCUUACCAUUUGUAAUCCAAUAGUAUUAAUAAAUCUUAUUCAAAGGUAAGUUAACUUUUAUUCCUAAAACUUUAUCAUUGUAUUCAUCACACCUUUUAAUUUAUUCAUCUUUCUUAUAUGUAUCUUCUCUCUCAACUUAUGCACACAAAAAUAUAAUAUUUUUUAAUAUUAAUAUGAUUAACAUUGAUGCCGAAUUACGUAAGUUUUCAUCGAUAAUAUUUGUUGUAUUUCAAAUAUGUACACAUUAAAUAGGCGAAAUACACUUUUUAAAAAUAGUUUGUAGUGUCUAUAUUUUAAUAUAAGAGUAUAUUUGAUUAAAAAAAUAAUUAAUUAAUAACAGUAUAGUGUAAAGCCACAGAGUAUCUAGAAUGUAGAAUGAUUUUGCAAGAGCAGAAAGAAGGAAGAAUAAAAAAAUAGAAUAGAUAGUUAUAGUUAUGGAAGAGAUGGAGGAAGGAAUGAAGUGUGUGUGCACCUGGAAACUCUCCUAACCCAAACCCAACUGCAUCUGCAUACAAGAGAGAGUGAGUGUGUGUGUAUGAAUCAGUGAGCAGUUCCCAGUUGCUACAAUGGAGUGUGUUCUAAACUUGGGGAGGGGGUUUGGAGGAGGGCGAGGACGAGGAGGAAGACGACUCUGGUUCAUAAUUCCAAAGGGUCUUUAGCUCACCUCUUUUGCUUCCCAAUACAAGAAUCACUCCUGUUCAUAUGUAUAAACAAUUUGGCAUCACAAAAGCUACCUAAAUCAUGAGAACCACAAAAUUAGUUACCUAGUGUGCACGGAACAAGGUAGAGGAGUGCAGGUUGUCCAUGACCGUUCAUCAUGUAUAGCCCCAGAUAUGUGAAGAACAGCCCUGAACACACCAAACAUACUCUAUACUUUAAUACCUUUGAAUCUAAAUCUAAAAUAAAUGUUUAAAUAAAAUGACCAACCCACAUGGGAAAUGUUAAGUUAACUCAUGUGAUGUGGAGGAGAAAUCUUUAAGCAGAUUUCCUAUGAUACCAGGAAAAUCAACUAAGCAACAGUUAUGAAGAAACAUUAUUCAACACAAACAUAUUACCUACUAACUUACCGAAGCCAUAGCCAAUCAUCAACCAAAGAAAAUAUCCGCUCACGACCCCCUUCUUAAGAUCUUUGUCGAAUCUGAGACAGUCCAAAGCCAUACAUAACAUACGUUGAAAACAAGGCUUCUUGUAAAGUAAGGUCGGUAUGGAAAAGAAGUUUAUAAAUCUUCACUUGUUAAAGUUUUUGACUAAAUAAGGAAUUCAAUACCUACGAGAAAAGGAAACAAGCAAACCAGGAAAGAGAAUAUCUCCAAAUCCAAUCAUAUCAUAGCCACCCCAAGGAUCAGCCAAGCGAGGAAAUCUCAAAAGCAUAGGAAUUGCUUCACCACCAGCCUUGUCACCUCGAGCAACCUACAAAAUAAAACUCAUCACUGUAGGACACCUUUUCACUGCAAAGAACAUAAGCAGUGAGGUGAGAAUUUCAUUUCAGCAGUGAGGUGAGAAUCGAAGGGCCUAUUUGAUUGCACUCAAUAAAAAUAGUCUUUAGUUUUUAGAAAUUAAAAUAAUGAAUUUAAAUAUAAAUUAAAAUUCUAAAAUUUUAUGAAUAAUUAGAUUAUUUAAAAUUAGAAAAUUUUAAAUUUCAAUUAGAAAGAAAGAAUUUGAAAUUCCUUAGUUUCUCAAAUCCAUGUGUCUUCUUUUUUAAAUUCUCUUAAUGAUUUUGGGUAGGAUGUCAUCUCACACCAAUAAAAUAACUACUUUUCAUUAAUUAGAUUUCUUUUAUUAAUACUAAAAGAUUUUUUAUUUUAUUUAAAUUAUUAGGAUUCUUUUGUUGCGGUAAAACACUUUUAUUUUUCUCUCUAUAUUAACAGGAUUUUCUCAAUCAAGAAGAUUAUUCUUUUGUCAAUGUCCAAAUGAUUAUUUUUUUAUCCAGCACUAGUGUACAUUAACUAAAAAAAAUAGCCCCAACUAUACCAGUAUGAACAAAGACUUACAGUAAUCAUGACACUCUUUUGGAAUAUCACUGGAGAUAUGAAUACCCAAAAAAUGUCGUAUACAAAUGCACAACAAAGUAGGACCGUUGCAACCUACGAUAUCAGAUUCAUAAAUAAAUUAUGAGAGAUGACAACAGAUAUUGGAACAAAACGAGAAAGGAAGUAACAGUUAUAAUAUAAACACAAGGAAGUCAUUAAGGUACCUUAAUAUUAGGCAACCGAGCCAUCUGUAAUACUGUUAUCAUCAAACAGAUGCCCUGUUAAGAAUAAAGCCGUAUGUCAAGCAAAUUGCAUACAACAAAAGCUCAAACAAACAGCUUAUCAUCGAUGAAUGACAAAACCCACUAUUGAGACAACAAACAAUUCUUUAGUGCAAUGCCUGAGAAAGCUCACUACGGAAUCAAAAGAGAGACCAGGUUUGUCUCAACAAGAAUACACAUUCACUCUACAAUGAUUAAGUGCAAAAAUAUAUGCAUCAUAUUUCUGUGGCUGAACAUGUGCUCUGAUGUGAGCAUUCAUACAUGUAUAUAUGUAGAUAAGUGACUGCAAUUAAAUGUGAGCAGAUUUUUUUAAAAAAAGGAACAUAUCAAUACUAGGCAGAUACAAAGCUGGAAACAGAAUGACAAUUGAAAGACUUGUGCCCACGUACUAGAAACUGGAACUCACAAGCAAAUCUUGCCCAAACCAAGAAAAUGAUUGGUGCCGAAAUACAACCCAUAAAACGGCAAAUGCCACGCUGAAUAGUAGCACUACCAGCGAGAAAAUAGAAACCUCUCCAAAUAAAGGUAAAUUCACAUUCUUCUGAGCACAAGCUCGACGUUUCCUGCCAAUAUAUUUGAGAAAAAACUUGAGAAAAUGAAGAGAUAUACAACAUGCAGAAAGAACAUUGAUUUCCCUUUUUACUAGAAGAGAGAAGAUAUUUUGUACCUUAAAGCGAGGGUUACAAUACAGUUGUGCAUCCCCUGAAUAUGGAAGCAAACUUCCAUUAAUGAAACGAGUAGUUUCAAACAAAUAAGGAAGAAAAAAAAGGAUCAAAUGCUUGUCAGCAGUUUAUAGGUAUUGUAGUUUCAAGUUUCAACUUUCUAAUAGAUCAACAUACCAGUUAAUGGAGAAGUGAAAGUACAGUCUAAUGUAUUUGUAAAAAAAUAAGUGAAUUUUAUUAGACAGAAUUAAAGAUAAAAUACAACUAGGGGGCAAACAAAAUAUCCUCCUAAGGACAAAAAAUAUACAAUGAGAAACAGACUCCAGAACAUAGAAACAAGCACGAGAUAAAUAAGUUUAGUCAACAGAAGUGAAUCAACAGUGUAUCACAUAAUUGAUUAAAGUGGCAUAUUUUAUCCUUUCCUGUAAAUGAGCCCUUAAGAAAAAGAAACUAAAAAAGUUGGUCUAAACACUAACUUUGUUAGUUAAAGCAAUUCUGUAUAAUUGAGUUCAACAUUUAUGUCAAGUAGUUCAGAAGUUUAACUGACAGAGGAAGUUGGCAUCCCUUUUCUACCAGGAUCUACCGUAUUUUUAGGUUAUCUUACAUUCUUUGGUUUGUGUAUGGUAAUGAUACGAGUAGUUGGGCUUGUAAAGCCUAUCUGGAUGCAGAUGUAUGGCUUGUACAACUAAAACAACCAUUUGGUUACAGAAAUAAUGUUUAUAAUGUUUUGACACUUAUCGCAACCUACUAUCAGGGGUAAUAGAGUCAUUAAAAAAAUAAACUUUUGUAUUUGUAAAGGAAAAGAGAGCAUGAAAAGUAAAACAGUGAAUGUAAGGUGGGUGUAAAAAUUUAUUGGACGAUAAAAUAUCAUGGUCCCACCAUAAUGAAAUAAUAUGAAGGAUUGGAUUGUAUGUUUAAAUGAAGUUAUCUCUAUAUCAUUACUUGAUAUUUUUUUAGCUAGAAGAUUAGGAGUAAAAUCCACGAAAAUGAGCUACCUUACCUCAAUACCACCAAUGCAGAAAAGUACAAUCAGCACCCAAAUAAACCAAGACGACAUGAAGAAGAACAGUAGCACAAGAAAAGUAGAGGCCGUAAUGACAAAUACGACAGCACCCUUUGUAUCUAUGUUAACUAUUUCCUCAGGUUCGUCUUUCCCUGCUUCAGACACAGCGCUCUAUAAAAAAAACAAUUUUAUGUUACAGACUAAUAAAGAUGUAUUAAAAUUGUAACAAGUAAACAAAAUGAAUGGAAGAAACCAUUCUCCAUGGCUCCAUUUAAUAGUUAACUGAUUGAAAGAUCACGGGCUAGCAAUACAGAAGGCAGUCAAAGAUAAAAGUAAACGUAGAUUAGAAGUUAGCACGGAAGCCAAGAUCAGUCUGUGGUUACUGGUUACAAAUGUCCCAUUCGAACAUUGUUGAAUAUCUGUUACUCACUGGAAGCACACCUUCGCAUCACUAUGAUUACUUCAGUUACAUUAAACAACGAUAAAAGUUCAUAAGAUCACAUUUGAGCAUAUAUCAUAGACAUUAAGGUAAAUAUAGGGUUGCAUGGAAAAACCUUGGGAGACAACUCAUUAUAGCGUUCAUCGAAUUGAUCAGGAGCAGUUAUAUCUGCCCAUAGUGAAGCACAUGCAACUGUUGCAACAGCCAUCAACCACAAAAAUGAAACCGAGUAGUCUACAACUGGGCGCGUUGGAGCAUAUGGCACAACCUCCACUGAAAUGAACAACUCCGAAUCAACCAUCAGUAAAUCAUUUGAAACAAACUUCGCAUCAAGCAGAAGAAAUGCACUUGAGAUUGAUAAAGAAAUGAUAUUUUUCUUUAAUCUUACUUAUUUAAUGCAUUUAUGUGAAUAAAUGAGCAUAUGUAUAGAAAUAACUUCUUGCAGUGCUAAAAAUUGGGUAUUUUACCAUUUACUGAAUGUUUAAUUAAUUAAUUCAUCACAGAAGUACGUGCUAGGCAACAUAAAAAGAAAGUCUAUGACUUUAGUAUGAAAUCGUACUCAAGUGCAAUUGAUGCCAACGGUGAGAUCACACCACGGACACUAGCUACAAGGAUUCUUGAUCAAAUGGGGAAACCAAGGAUUCUAUGUUGAAGUGGGUGAAUCAUACAACUUUUGAUAAGGAAAAACAUAGCAGAAAAGUCCUCUAUGUCUCAACUAGAACAAAAUAGUAAAAAUUUAAGUCAGGAGGAUAUUGACCCUCUAGGGAUCCUUCUUGUCACCUUGAGUAAGUCCUUUGAAUCAUGUUCCAGGACCAAGACGAGUAAGGAGCCGUUUGGUUUCGGAAAACACUUCCUAUUUUCAUUUCCUGUUUUCAUUUUCAUAUUUUUAGAUUUAAAAGACAUGUUUAGUUUGACUUUGUGUUCUUGAUUAAACAAUUUUCAACAAAAAAAUUUAAACUAUUUUCAACAAAAAAAUUUAAACUAUUUUAUAAAGUUAACAAAUGAAGUUUCAAUUAUGAUUAUACCUUUAUUAAUGAACAAUUUGUGAAUAAAUAAUUUUAUAUUAUAUAUCCUUGAUUAUAACAUUUUAGAUUGGAUUAUAAGUUGAACUUGGAGAUCAUAAAUUAUCAUGCAAAUUAUUUGCGUGUAUAAUUACCAUUUAUAUACCAUUUCACUAAAAUUUUGAAUAAUAAAUUCUUCAGAGUUUCAAAGGAUUAGAAAUUAAGAUUAUCUUAUGAUUUCCUCAAGGUUAAAUAUGAGGGUCUUAUGUUGUUUAGUGACAACAAUUCCGUUAUCAGCAUUACCCAUAACCGAACCCUGACAGAACAAAACACUUGGAAAUAAGUGAUAACUAAUACUUCAUCAAAGAGAAGUUGGAUGGAGGCAUUAUUGUUACAACACAUAUGACUCUAAGGCUCCAAGAGAUUGAUGUCUCGACACUGAGCCUUAUUCAUUUAUCAAGAGAAGUGUCCUAAAUAUCAUAGGAUAUCUAUAGAUGGUUUAUCUUUAGGAUAAUAUGGAAGAUCUAUAAGGAUAACCAUAUUAUUUAUCUUAAGAAUAUCAUGAGAUUUUAAUUUCGUUAUUUUUGUCAAUUCCAUGGUUAUUAAAACCAGACUAGUUUAAUCAGGACUGUGCGGUUCGUCAGAUCCUUAAAACAUUGGAUCGGUUAAAAACUGCGGUUUGGCAGUUCAACAAAAAUCAGGUGUGUCGUUUUGGGUCAGAUUUUUUCCUUUUCUUUUCCUUGAUCACGAUCUAAAAAUCACAGGAUCCUAAAUCAGGAAAUAGGAGCAUGACAUUUUCUCUUGACUCACUUCGGCUUACUUCCCUUCUAAUCACAACUUAUUUUUAAUAUAUUUCUUACAUGGAAAUCUCUCUUUUUUUGCAAUUUUUUUGGAAAUUCCACAAUAUUUAAAAGUAUAAACAAAUUAUAAUAUAUAAAUUAAUACAAAUCUCUGCUUUCAAAUCGGUUUUAUAAAAUUAAUUUAAAGUUAAAUUUCAAUUUCUUAAAAUCAUACAAGAGUCUUUCUAACCUUAUAAAUAUUAUGUUAUUUUUUAAAAUAUUUUUUAACAUUUUUUAAUAUUAUAUUAUAUUGUUAUAUUUAAGUCGUUCAACUACGCUAAUUAUUGGUUAUUUUUCUAUUUCUUUUGCCUUAUAAAAGGGAUACAAAAUUUUGUUUCUUUCAACUUACAACUAAGACAACAUCCGUUAAAUACGUACUUAUUAUUAGGAUUAUAUGUGCUAGAAAAUAACUUAUCUAGUUACUGUGUCCAAUGUUAGAUUUUAACUUCAUAGCUUAUCUCUGGUACCCUAUCAUAUUAUUAUUACAUGACAAAAUGAAAGAGAAGUAAAUACAAAACUCUUUCACAAAAGCACCAGUGGACAAACAAACUACAAAUACAAGUUUAAAAAAUCGAAGGACAGACCUUUCCUUUUAGAUGUCAAAAGUUUGUUGAGAGUGUCUCCUACUGACUUUGUUAUCUCCACAACCGGAAUUGAAAUAUUUACCGGAUUGUCCUUGGAGCAGUCCAUCUCAAAGAGUUCUGAUAUAAAAUAAACAGAUAAAUUUCAUAUUAAAAGCGUAAAAUAACAUAAAAAGUAAAAAAAAGUGCAGUAAAGGUAAGUUUAAGUUAGUGAAUUGUAAUUGUAAUGCUAACACAAUUAGUGGAAUCCUUUUUUCUGUAUGUAAUAGCCUCUACGGAUUUAAUAAAAACCAAUAAUGCAACAAUGCUUGUUAUCAUGGUUUCAUCUACAGGCUUCGGAUGAGCAAUGAGAUUGGAUUUCUUUUUAGAGCUAAUGUAUUGCCCUUUUCCAUGAUCAGUGAUCAUCCUCUUAUGUACAAUUUAUUAUGGAAACCAAUCUUUAACAAAAACUAGUGGGAAGUAAUAUUAGGAAAAACAAUGCAUACUGGUAUGAUAAACUACAUGAUUUAAUUUUGGGCUAUUGUCAGUGGAAAAUAUGAUCAAUCUAAAAUCUGGAGGUGUAACGUGAAGCCUUAUUAAUGUUUUAUAUAUCCAUGAAGAGUCCAAUUUCAGCAUGUAACAUAAUUCCACUUAUACAAAGCAAUACCAUUUAAUGUAUCUAAAGUGCCAAAAUUAGUCCAAUGAUAUUUCACUUUGUUGUUUAGUGACAUUGUCUCAUGUUUUAAUAUUUUAUAAAAUUGAGCUAUUUGCCUAUUUCAAGUACAAGACUCAUCAUUCCAUAAUAGCUUUCCUGAAAAAAAAAAUAAGCUCCUAAGCAUUAGAAUUUGUUCCUAUACAUCAUUAUAAACUUAAAAUCUUUAUCCAGGUUCCAAGAAAGCGACAAUAGUUGGCAAUCAGAGUUCAAGCUAUGCUUGUGAGCCCAGGUUUAGCCGUGCUACGUACUGUUUAUUAAACCCCGUGCUUAGAUUUUGAGUAUACUGCACAGCAUGCACGAAGAGAUUUCAGCCUAAAGAAAAAGCAUGCGAGCAACCAAGCUGACAAGUGAGUGGGGACGUUACCAGACUGACAAAUGACACCUUCUAUACGUCUAAUACACCUUCUUUAUUCAGAUUAAACACAAAAUAGAAACCUCGUGGUUGAAGUGCUAAAAUAUACCAUCGGCGUCGUUUAUCAUGAACACGGCAGCAGCACCACCGGACUGCGCGAAUGUAGCUUUAGUUGUGAAGUCACAAACGCCUCGUGCGCAGAGAGCUGCUAAUCCAGAUAACUGCAAAAUGGAGAAAUGCAGAAGCACACUACUUGAGGAAGCUGAUAUACGAUGAACAGAUUUCAAAAUACGAGCAUGAAAGUAAGAAAACAAACAAAGUUGGGGAAAACAGUUGAUGCAUGAUACGAAGGAAGGGGAACGAGAAAGAAACCUUUACGGUGGAAGCGGAACAGCAGUCCAAAGGAUCGGAAAUAACAGCGGGAACUUUGGUAGUUGGAUCAGCAUUGUCAGGCAAAUCGGAGCCAAAUUUUGCAGUCAUACCAUUGUACUCUUCAUCUUCCUUCCCAUCAAUCCAGCUCUGUAUCUUAACCUGCAAACACAUUGAUUAAUGUUAUUAAACAUGAGAGAGAGAAUUGAAGAAAUAGAUAAACGUAAGGAGGAGGAAUUACCAAUUGCGCAACGUGAUCGCAGUGGUCUUCAUCGGCGGCGGCGGCGGCGGCUAGGAAGGCGAAGGAGAAGAAGAGAAGGAGAAGAGCCGGCGGCAAAGAGGAGGAGGAGGGCAUUGUUGGUUAGGGGAAAAUUGAAACGGUUGGGUUAUGAUUGGUUAAAGGUUUAGUGUGUGCUGUGACGAUGAGAAGGACAUUGGUUCCUCUCCUCUCCCUCCCUCGGGAAUUUCGUGGCAUUUUGGGAUUCUGCAUUUUAAAAUACUCUUCCCUCCUCUCUCUUAGCCAACCGUUUCCACCUUCUCCACUUCAUCAUUCUAUAUCUUCUCCCUUUUCACAUUUUCCCAAACUUCACUCUCCACCGUCAAUCCCUUUUCUACACAUUUCAACAUUAUUAUUAGGAACACACAUUUUAUCAUCAUUAAUUUACUCAUCUUACCCUAAUUUUACUUUUUUUUAACCAAAUUUUUCAAUUUUAAAAUAAUUGUAAAUCUACCAGUAGUUGAACAUUGUCGGUGUCAGACACAUCGAAUACUGAUACUUGUAGGAUAUAUGUAUCUGCGAAGUGUCCAAUUAAAAAAUUAUUUGUUGUUUUGAUAUUUAUAGCACGCUAACACAAUUUUAAAAGGAAAAAACACAUUAAUUUUAUAAAAACUCAAAUUUAUGGUAUAAAUUUUGAUAAUGAUUAUAAAAAUAAGGAACAAAUCAUUUUGAACCAACUAUGAAAAACAUCUUUCUACUAAAACAAACUGAAAUAUAUUUAUGCACAUAAACAUUUAUUGUCAAUUUAUAUAAUUCAUAAUUACAUAAUAUAUAGAUUUGUGUCCCUAUGUUCUAUAUUUUAGAGAUUAUACGUAUCUCCGUAUCUGUGUCUGUACUACAUAAGUGUCGACCGACAUAACCAGAUUCAUUAAGUCCAAUAGAAGAUGAUUAACAACACCAAACAGUGAUUAAACAUUAAGUAAUACACUCUUAAUCCUGGUCUAAAACUCUAAUCUGAUUCAAUAAUAAAGGAUCCACAAUAAUAAUAUAAACAGUCACAAGUUUUGCAAAAAAUCAUCACGCAUUAAUUACACCAAAUAUCGAAUACUGAAAUCUGACUUAAACGUUAUAGUAUCUUUUGCGGGAAUGGAGAUUUUACAAAUGAGGAGACAUUAAAGCAUGAAGGGAUAUAAAAGUAAUUUUCUUUUUAUAUCUUACAAGAUGAAAAACAUAGAUCAGAAAUGUUGUAAGAGAAAAACAAAAUGGGAGUAUAAAAGCAUUGGGCGUUAAAAGCGGUUUGUGAUUGUUGUUGUGUUGAUUUUGAAGUCCAUGGCUCCCUCCAUGAGGAUCGUCUUCGGUCUUCUCACUUUCGUCACCGUCGGAAUGAUCAUAGGUAUCUCUUCUCUCUUCUCCGAUUUCUUCUUCUUCUUCUUCUUCACUCUCUUGCUCUUUCUUCUUCUCUCUCCCCCACUGCCCUAAAUCACCACACAUCUCAAUAAUCAUAUUUGAAUUACCACUCACAACUUUUCACUCUUCUCUUCCUCAAUUACAUUGCAGGUGCUCUCUCUCAGUUGGCCAUCAUACGAAAAUUGGAAGACUCAUACGGUAUCGGAUCCUACUUUUCUUCUCAUUUUCUACCCUCGUUCUCAAUAAUUAGCCACGAUAGGUGUGCCAGCACCCACCUUACGCAAAGUUAAAUUUUUUAUUACAUGGUGGAGUGCCAAGGAUUGUAGGCAUCUCUAACACCGUGCCAUCUACCAACCCCUUCAAAAGCUUAGGCUUUUAGCUGAUGCACAUUAAUGAUUUUCAAAUUUCUGCAUUGCUUCUUUAACGAGUUUAAAUGAAACAAAUAGGGGACUUGUUUUAGAGGGAUAUUUGACCUAGAUUUUUGUGUUUGAUUAUUUUUGUUAUGCUCUGUUAGCCUAACUGCUUCAUGCAGGCUCUGAUUCUUUGCCAUUUAGAAGAUUGCGUGAAGUCGAAGGUCAGGGUUACCUUCAAUUGCCAAGAGGUCAGUAAUAUUUUUGUUUUCUGCCUAUUUUAAUCUCUCUAGAGUGCUAGAUGCCUGCUAAGUUAGUUCCCUUUCCACCAUGUGCAAUGCUUUACCUAAAAAGUAAAAUGUACUACUGUAUUAAUCUUUUUUUUAUUCCUUGACUGACUUUCAAUCGUUUCAUUGUUGAGUCUUCUAGAUAUUGUAUUUGUUUUUUUUUUUCAAACUUUCUGUAAAACACAAAUAUCUUUGUUAUGAGUUACUCCAUCAGUGUAUUUUAGUUUUACAUAUUUUUUAAGUUGUCAAUAACUAGCAAUUUUCUUCAUUGGAGCUUCUUUUUCAACCAUUUCUUCUAAUUUUCAGGUAUUUCUUUUUGGAAUAAUGACAAGGAAGCAGAAGUGUUACGCCUUGGAUAUGUAUGUCCGUUGUCCUCCCUUUCUUCUGCUAAACUUUUCUAUUUACAUGUUUUCUCAGGCUCAUCCUCUAUGAUAGAAUCACAGACCUCAUGGUAAAAUAAAAUAGUAAAAUAUUAUUGCUUAUACAUUCGGUGUAAAGGUAUAAUUUUAACGCCUCAAAAAGGCAACAAGAUUAAAGUUCUCUUCUCUGUUCAAUUAAAUACUUGGUUAAAGAAUGCUUGACUGCACUCUGAGUGAUCAAUAUCUGUGUCAUUCUGUCUUAUAAUUUUACGUUUAAAGCCUAUGUCAGUCUGUGUUCCAGCUUGCGUUAGACUCAUUAAUUUAACCAUUGUCUGAAUAACCAGUUUAUUUUCUUUUUUCAGUGAAUUUCUUUUGCUUAUUCUCAUUUUUUUGAGAAAUGAAUAGAUUUGCAUGCUUAAAUUUUGAUUAUUAUUUCCGUCUGAUCCUCAAUUGUAGGUCAAACCCGAAGUGCUUAGCUGGUCUCCUCGGAUUAUUUUACUUCAUAACUUCUUGAGUUCAGAGGUUAGCUGUCCCUACUAAAUGCUGUUUUUCAUUAUUAAAAUGUUUCUUGAGGUCAAAUACCCGGCAAUUAACAGUACUUUUAAAGCAUUCUUCAGCUGAAUAAAAACUGCUGGUGGUGGCCAUAUGUAUGUAUUAAAAUUAUUUUAUCUUUACAGGAAUGUGAUUAUCUCAGGGCUAUAGCUCUCCCUCGCUUGCAUAUUUCAACUGUGGUUGAUACGAAAACUGGAAUGGUACAUUGGCAGUUUCUGUUGAAUUUCAAUUUGAUUGAUCAUAAUCAUCAAUACAUGCUACGGGAUGAGAUAGGGUUUAAGUUUCAUUAUGCCUAAGUGAAGUAUUGUCAGAUUCACCAUGGGAAAAUUUUAGUAUGUAUAAUGAAUUUGUCAUAAAAUACUAAAUGCCUUUUAGGAAGACAAUGUGCAUAUGCAUAUACAGGAGCUUGUUGUUUUGUUACAUUUGAACCUUCUAUAUUGUUGCAUUCUGUAUGCAACUACCUAACCAGCUCACUUUGUGACUGCGUUUUAAUUUCUUCUCUUUAAGAAUAAAUUAUAUUUUUGUAAACCACUAAAUGGUUUUUAUCUGAGGGUGGCAGGACCCUUCUCACAGAAAAUACCCAAUCCUGGGCUAGGAAAAAAUGAGUGAGAAGUUUUGAAACUUAAAAAAGAAGAAUUUUAUGCUUCAAAUGUAGAGCUUAAGUGAAGGGCUGUAUUUUAAGAUUAAAAGAAUUUUCUGUUGAUUUCACACAAUGGUCAAAUAGGUUAAAAACCACUAGAAGGAAACAAUUUAUCCUAAAAUUGCUUUUUGCUUUGCUUUCCUAUUAUACCAAUUUUCUGCUUAUCUGUGACAUCAUUUAUGUGUUACAUAUAAAACCACUUCAAGGAAUUUCGCUAAACACCUUGAAGAAAUAAAGAAAAGUUGUUAAGAUUAUAAACAGCUUUUGUUGAUUUCACACACUGGCUAAUAGGCUCCUAUAUCAUUCUUAGAAUAAGUUGAUUUUAUAUUCAGUGGUGGAUGUUGACCAAUAAUUUUGGGGAGACCAAAAUAAUAUAUUUAAACUAAGCAUAGUUUUAAUUUUUAAUCUCCAUGCAAAGCCGCUAGAGUCCAUUCUCCACACGUUGCAUAAUUGGAUUAAGAAGAAAAGGAAAUCCAUUUUAAAAUUAGUGUGGACACGUGGAAGUAGUAGGAUAUGGGGUCAUUUUCAUCUAUGAACAUGUAUUUCUUCAUUAAAUGUGAUAUUUCUGUCCAUAGGGAAUCAAGAGUGAAGUCAGAACCAGCUCUGGUAUGUUUUUGAAUCCUCAAGAGAGAAAAUAUCCUAUGGUACAAGUAAGUUAGCAAUUUUACUCUCCCCUCAAGUCUUUUACUUCAGUCAUUAAAGCAGUGUAAAAAACAUGGAGUGCACCAUCUGGUGUGACCAUAUUUUAUUGAGUAACUUUAACUGUACAGUCUGAUAAAAUAUGUUCACCUUGCUCAUCUAGGCAAUUGAAAAAAGAAUCUCUGUCUAUUCUCAAAUACCAGUUGAGAAUGGUGAGCUUAUGCAAGUCCUGAGGUGAGAAUAUGACUUAUUUUUUCUCUCUAUAUCUGAACAUGAGUGGGUUUGCUAGUAUUAAGGCUAACAUUUGCAGCAGCACAGGUACGAGAAGAAUCAAUAUUACAAACCUCAUCAUGACUAUUUUUCUGACACCGUAAGUUGUAUUUGCUCUUUUUUAAUUUUCAAAUUAUAGUCAACAUGCGAAUUUCCUUGAAGUGGCUUCUAUGAAACCCCAUUUGCAAUCUGUUAUGCCUUUUUUUUUUCGAGACAGUUCAACUUGAAGCGUGGUGGGCAGCGAAUAGCCACAAUGCUUAUGUAUUUGAGUGACAAUGUUGAAGGAGGAGAAACAUAUUUCCCAUCAGUAAGCUUCUUGUUUUCUGAAAUUUGUUAUUUAACUUAUUUUGGUAGUUGUUGUAUACUUUUUUUUGGAUUUUAUCUUUACCAUGGGAAAUAUGCUCAAUUUGUAACAUGCUACUACUAGCUAUCUAUUCGGUGUUAUGUGUUGGCUGUUAUAUCUGUCACUCAAAUUGGACAUUUUGACUAUAGUGAUGCUGUUGUUUAUAAUAAUACAAUAUGAUUCAGGCUGGUUCCGGUGAAUGUAGCUGUGGUGGGAAACUUGUCAAAGGGCUAUCUGUCAAACCAACUAAAGGAAAUGCGGUGCUUUUCUGGAGUAUGGUUAGUGCAAUUAAUUUGCUUAUUAUGGACGGUAUCCGUGUUAAUUAUGAAAUAGGAACAUCUAUUUCCUUAAUUGUUCUAGUACUUUUACGUGUCUUGAAGAUUGUGCUUUUUGGCCCCAGAGAUAGAAUAUAUAUCUUUGAUCAUCUGCAAGUGCAUGUGUCUUAACAAGUCAUAGAAUGACGAGUGGGGUACUGUUUCCCAAAGAUUGAUAAAGAGUCAAUUUUAUCUAAUAACCAAUUACUGCAGUACAAAACUACCAAACAAAUUAGUAUAAGCAUAAGAAGCAAAGAGUAACCAAAAAGUUUAAGUGAUAAAUUCAAGAAUACAAGAAUUAAUCCACUUUUUCUAUGUAGAAACAGUAUGUUUUACCCUUUUACCCAUUGGAAUACAUAUGCAAACACUGGUGCUUAAUAAGAUAAGCUUCUACCAUUACAUAUUGUUAAGAACCGGUGCUAGAUAGGAAGAACCAGUUUAAAAAUCAAGGGUAGAGAUGGCUUUAUAGGUUUUUAUAUAUAUAUUUUUUCAAUUUAUACUCAUCAUUAGGAUUUAGCUGGUUUAUGAAUUGGUACUUUUGUGAUAGAAAAUGUGAAUGGUGAAUGUAACUGUUAGUGUUGAUCUUGGCAGGGACUGGAUGGUCAAUCAGAUCCGAACAGUGUGCAUGGAGGAUGUGAGGUAAUGUCUGGGGAGAAGUGGUCAGCUACGAAGUGGAUGAGGCAGACCACUCACGUUUGAAAAAAAAAAAUAGCAAUUGGAUCUUGUCCUUAUAAAAGAAUAGUGAUUAAGAAUAGUUAUUGAUAUUAGAAAUAUUUGAUAGUGUUAAUCUUAAAUCAAUAAACUGCAGCACCGUAGUCUGAUAUUAUAGAUGCCCCAGGUAUGGUUUUACGGGGUUUCCAAAGAUAAAUACAUAUCCUCAUUUAUUCAACUUUCUGUUUUACAUUUCCUUUCUCACUCAGGUAAAGAUUUCAUUCAAAUAUUUGUAAAUGGACAAAUCUUUUGGCACUUGUAUUCUUUUUAUCCACCUUCAUGAUAUAAAUUUCACACUUUAAUGAAACCAAUCUUUAGAAUCUAACUAUCUCAUCAAACCAUUCUACACUCAACCAAUAAAAAAGAUCAGUGUAUAUGGAUUUUAUAGUUGUAAAAUCAACAAUUUUAUCAUACAUGUGUUCUGCGUUUAAUUUCACCAAACGUUAUUCUAUAUAGCCUUUGAAAUUUUGACGAGAAAAACUCAUUUUAACCAGUUUACACUUUUAAAUAAAUUGAAUUCAAAUUCUUAAGUCUUUUCAAUUUCUAAUUCCUAUUAUUUUUACUUAUCACUCAAAUUUACAUACACUUACAAAAAGGUUUUAUUUAAAAUUGAGUAAAUUAAAUGUUAAAUAUGGUAGGACAAUUUCUUCGCAAACUUGUCUUCAAAUUUUCCUCCUUAUUUUUAAAUUCACUCCUAAACUAUUAAGCAUUCCAUUAAUAACAAUAAUAUAGACAAAUAAAGCAGCUUAUCAGUAGUUUACUUAGAUUAGAAGUGUGUUUGUAUAUAUGUAUCUCCACCACUUACAACAAAAAUGUCACUCUUCCAUGCUCAAAACCAACGCCAUUCCGUUCAUAAUAAGAUAAAUGGAAUUGUAAAAAAAUAAUAAACUUUCUGAAUACAAGCCUAAAUCAAACCAUGAGAUGUUACGUAUCAGCAACUGUAUGCCCUUUUUUAUGUUUGCCCUUUAAACCAACACCCGCCUGGUACCCAUAGAGACAAAUACGCAGACCACCCUUUAUCAUCGCUUCAUAAAAAUAGUUCUUGAAAACCUCCAUGAAUUCAUCCCUGUCACAGUACCAUCAUCAUCAGCUUCUAAAUUUAUGCAAAAUCUUACAAGAGAGACCACACCGCUACUUUUAACAAAUAUAAAUUGUUUAUGUAUAUAGAUAGAACCCAUGACCAACCUGACUUGUGGAAGGGUCAACAACGAAUACCCCUUUACAUCAGGAUGCAUAUCUAGCACCAGUACUUGCAACCUUGAAAGGUCUAACGCCUCAGCAUCAAUUAGCUUCUUUAUCCUGAAAUUGCGUAUCACAAUAAUUACGUCACCAAAAGUUUAACAAAAGGUAUAUCUAAUCAGAUGUUUGGUCAGAAAGAACAAUUUUCUUUAGUAGAAGGACGUGGGAUCACCAACCUGCUUGGAGUGCCGCUAGCAAUGUUAACACGGUUUUUUAACAAAGAAAUCUGCAUUGAUCAUAAAACAAAAUCAAUGGAGCAAUGCUUCCACGAAGAAGAAUAAGAAGAAUCACAAUUUAUAACAUGAACCAAGGGAAGGAAAAAUCAUGCAGCGGUGAAGAACAAAACAUUAAAUUUAAAUGCACAGAAGUAAAUUCACUUUUUUAGAGUCCAAGAAAAGGGGUUUAGAUUUCAAGUUUUUAAAAUUAAAAACGGAGUAAUUUGGUCCCUCAGCCGCAUGCCGAUGAAUUUUUGUCUGGUUUCACAACUGGUACAAGUUGAAGUGGAAGGAUGCAGAAAACAAGAGAGAGCAGAAGUAAUGCAUAGUUGAAUUGACAAAAUCAUUAUACUUGUCCUAUCAAACCAGAGCCAUAGCUCCCACAAUAUGCUACUCUCAGUCACAGAAACACAGAAACACAAGUUAUCUUGCCCGUAAAAUUUGUAAAUAAGUGAGUGAGUGUUUGACGAAAAUGAAAAUCAACAAAUAAAUGAAGGUUAAGAGCACAGAACAGAAAGACAGUUGAAUGAGUUGAUGGUGAUUGGUUUAGGGUUUGUUAGGGUUUAGGGUUGUACCUGUUCCGGAAGCUUAACGUGCUUGGCGAAUAGCUUUGCAGCGUGGCAUUGUUUAGUGAAAGAGCGAAAGCCCCUGCAGAACGAAAUUAGGGUUUUAGCAUGUAAAAGGAAUUAUAAAGGGAGAUAACGAGAGAGAGAGAGAGAGAGAGAGAGAGAGAGAGAGAGAAGAAGAAGAACCUGAGAAGGUCUAUGCAUCUUAGGGCAGAGGAAGUCACGAUCAGAACCGCGGGACUUCCGGCGUUAACUUUUCCCUCAACCACACUCCCUUCGCAGAGAUGCUCCCUCCAUGCGCCGCCAAACGCCGCCUUAACAGUUUUCCCCAAUGUUUGGACAUCACACUGAUUUGGUACCUCCAGAAUGCAGUCUUCUCUGAGAGACUCCAACUCCAGCGAUGAAAGCUGAAGACCCAUCGCCGACUCAAGGACGCGCAAAGGCUCCGACGAAGGUUCAUCGGACUUCUCUUCUUCCACCUCUUUCGCCUCCUCCUUCUUCUUCUUCUUCUUCUUCCCAAUAUCACACUCAGUUUUUCUCUUUCUCUUUUCCGACGCCAUUCCAACCUUUCUCUCCUCUUCUUCUUUCUCUCAGCCCUAUAUAUAUUAUUAUUCACCUUUCUUUUUCACACACUUUUUUUUAUCUUUCCCAACCCCUAAUUUUCAUUAUGGGCCCAAUCAACAUUAUUACUAAUCAAACUCCUCCUUUUUUUUCUUAUAAAAACAAUACAAUUGAAUCCAACACAAAAUAAAUUAUUAUAUACACAAUUACUCUCUUUUAUCUUCAUUUCGAAAAUAAAUUAUACGGAACAUUAUUUUUCAGUUAUAUAUUAUACAGCAUCAAUCAUUAGAAACAGUUAUAUAUUGCAACUAUAUUAUUCUUUAUACAUUUAUAUUAUAUAAGCAGAUGAACAUUUAUCCAUAAUAGUCAACGUUCUUUAAAAAUAUUUAUAUGUUGUUUUGAUAUUUAAUAAUUAAUUUUAUGAGAAUUUUUAAAUUCAAUUAAUUAAAUUGUGAAUUAAUUUUAUUAUAUAUAUAUAUUAAAACGGUAUGGGGAAAAUAUUACAUUAUUUGCAGUUAAUUAUUCAAAUAAAUUAUUAUUUUUUUAAAUAUUUUUAUAAUAUAAUUUCCAAUUUUACAAAAUAAAAGUUUAUAAUUAAUCAUCUUUCAAUUUUUAUUAUAUUAAUUCUUAUUAAAUUUUAAUUAAGAAUAUAAUUCAAUUAAUUAAUUUUUUAUUUUGUCAGAUCAAUCUCAUCAACUAUAAUUUAUUUGUUUAUUUUUCUUUUCACUUCCUCUUCCAUCUAAAUAUUUAAAAAAAAAAAAAUCAUAAAACUCAAAACUACACAAUAUCUUAAAUGCUAAAAUGUUUAGGAGGAGGGAGAGUUGAGGUAAGGAUAUAAUAGUAAAUUAAUGUGAAUUUUAUUUUGUCAACUUUUGUGUGUGAAAGUGAUGGUUGUUUUAAAAAUCAAAACAAUCUCUUGUAAUGGGAUCAAAUUGAUGAUUGUUCAACAAGGGAUGUAAGUGGACAAAAAGAUAAACAACUACCCCAUGUUUGCAUAGCUCAUGAUAGUGCCCAUCUAUCAAUAUCUGAAUUACAAAUUAUUUAGAGCAACACAAAGAGAACAACUUUAUUAGAUGCAGAUAUGAUUCUUCAAAAAGAAAGAGAGGGGGAACUAUACCAUGUUUUUCUUUUCUCAGAAAUCUCACAUGGAAUAAAAAUUAACAAUCAUACUGAUAAGAAAUUUCUGUACAAAUUAAAGUUGACUUGUAUAAUAUUCUUAAAAUAAGAAUUGAGAUAUGAUAUAUGAAAAAAAUUAUAAAUUAAUUUUAUCUGAUGAAAAUAUCUUCGUGUACUUCAAAACAGAGAUCCCACUGAAGUUACCUUUCAGAACUUUUAGGCAAUGAAUCAUUCCUUUUUCGGCAGAAGAUGUCACAGAUAAAAAUAGUCAUUGCAUACAGAAGAAAAUAACUCUAAAACAUUUUUCUAACAUGAAUGUACAAUUUUUCUUUGACAUUGGUUAUAAACUUCUACAGUAAUUCAUCAAACAUAAAAAUGAACCGAAACAAAAUAGAUUUCAUUCCUAAUUGGAUCAAUUUUAGAACAGGAUUGGAAGUAUCAUUCUCUAAUUCAUCCCAUUCUCACUUCUAUUAUGGUUCUGAUUCCAAAAAUUAAAUUAAUCACUCAUUGUACCAUACUUACCCAGACAAAGGAAUAAACAACCUCCAAAGAAAAUCAACCUGGACUUUAAAAGGCAAUUCUUGAAGAAAACGAACAAAUUUUCCUAGACUACCAUAUUACAACAUACACUGUACAAUUGUAGAAUUGACAAUCUACAGCGUCCGUUUCCUUCAUUAUUCAUUUAAGUUGGUUGGUACAAAAUCAGUUUUCCUGCUUUGUCAUCAAAACCUUGACUUCUACGCACGUUUGCAUAGAAUCUGGUAAAACAAAAUAAGUUAUUUGCUUUGUGCGCAUCCGCAACUGCAAUUCUCAAGUUCUUUGUGAAGCUUCUGAAAGAGGGUAAAAAAAAUUUGUUAUCAAAACCAGCAGUUAACUAAUGCCUGAAUUAUUCUGUGCAAUUCUUAUCCUUCAUAAGUAAAAUUCUUUAUAAUACAGAUAAGUAAUACAAUUCAGGAAUCAUGAUUAAGGAGACAACAAUCUACUCAGUUAGGAAACUCAACGUGACUUUUCACAUCCAGUCCUUUCUUAUUCUACUUUAAAAAAAAUUACAGCUUCAACUUAGCUUGUACUUGGAGUGCGACAGAAAUAUCAUAUUGAUAAAACAAAAUUACAAAAUUAUACAAGUUAUGAAGGUUGGUUGUAUGAAUAUAAUUUUCAAUAAAGGAUGAUGCUACACAUAAAUAAAUUAUGUACAGAUAAAUAUUGAUUAAGAGGAGUAAUGUAAUAGAAAGAGAUAAAGUAAUAGUAAAUAUUGGAUUUUGAAGUGAUUCUAACUAAGAUGUCAGCCUAAUGUCUAUCUAAAAUGUCAAAAUUUAUAGUGAUGUUUAAUAUGACUUUUUUUUUAUAAAAAAAAUAAUAGUAAAUAACAAACAAUUAGUCAAAAGGACUAAACCUCUAUAGUAAGACGGUUCAUGAAAUUAAUAAAAUAGCAAUUUUAUCCCUGAAAAUGUACAUUAUCUAUAAAUUUAGUCUUCCAAAUUGUAAUAGAAGGUAAAACUAAUUCUUGAAAUAAAUAAAAUGAAAAGUCCUUAAAAUUUUAAAUUACCAAUCAAUUUAGUCUUUCAAAUUGUAUAAGAUAAACCCAACCUUAUGCUUAAAUUCAUUUUUUACCCUUAUCUAGGUUUAUAUUUCGCUAGUAAAUUAAAAAGAAUUAAGUACAAUUAAAUAUCUAUACUUAGGAGUUGAUUUGUUUUACCAUUAUAAUUUUAAAGACUAGAUUAAUUGGUAAUUAAUUUUUAAGGAUCAUACUAUCUUUUAUCUUUCACAUAUCAAUUUGACCAUCUAUUAUGUUUUAAAGGACUAAAUUGAUAAAUGUACAAUUUCAAGGACUGGCUUACUAUUUUAUUCUAUUACUUUUAAAGAACAAUUUAAAAGAUUAUUACCGUUUUAAAUAAUGCAUUAGUAGUCUCCUCUUGUAAAAAGUGUAGUAAAGGCUUGUUGUUAGUGUAUUACAGCUUAUGGUAAAUAUAAAAUAUUACAGUGCCCAGUAUGCAACAAAAAGAUCAUUAUGCGAGGUUAUCCUUGAUGAAACCAGCUGGCUGACAUACACAUUCUGUUUUAAGUGUACACUUAACUAUCAAUGAACAUUGACAUUGCACACUGGGUAUUGACUAUAGCAAGUUAAUACCAUUGAGAUUGCAAAGAUUAGCACCGUCACAAUUUUGUCUUUGUCUUUGGUCUUGACUCCCAAAUGAAGACUUUUCAAGGCAACUUUUGACAGAGUCACUUCAACGUCGACAAUCUUCGAAUGUAGUAGUGAUCCAAACGAUGUUCAAGGACUUAGAGGUCCGAACAGCAAGGGAAGUUAAAACUAGUUUACCAUGUUCCAUUGCCCCUCGUAAAAAGACAAAGUUGUUGAAGUUUGUAUAACUAUCCAAGGAAAGAAAGUGACUGUCUGAAUCCUAUUGGAGCAAUAGUGCGAUUCCGGCAGCUUUGGAGAAGGGAGAAGAGUUAAGGGGUUGAGACUGGGAUUAUUGGCUCCGGGGAUGGAAAACUAUUAAUUCUGACAACUUGUAUAAGACGUGUUGCACGCGCAAGACAUGGAAGAAUGGAGAAUAACUCAGGUAGUCAGAAGCAUUAGCCCUAGCCAAGGUAGAAGAGAGAGUAUGAAGUUGGGCUAUAAUGAUUUUGUUGUGUUCCUUUGCAAUCAGAAACUUUGUUUAUUUAAGAUAUGGUUUAUGUUAGUUGAUUUAGUAUGUUAUAGAAGGCAGUGGUGAUUGGCUGACGGGUUAAUGAUGAUGGCUAGAGGUAUUUGGCUUGCCAGUGUGGAAAGGUGCUUACCACGUGAAAAAAAAGAGCGUUGUUUGAAGUGGCCAGAUAGCAUGGCAAGCUCAAGGGAAGACAGUAACAUUGCCCUAUAUCAACAAGUUGUUUGUUUUUCAAGAGCUUACGCACGUUUUAUUCCUAAGCUUGAUAUUGCACUAUUUUUCCAUCAGCAGCCGAGGAAUCUCCAGGCCUCACAACCAUUACCAAUUUUUUUGGAUUCUACAGGGAAAUUAAUUGGUGGAGACGUCUGAUAUGAAAUUCCUACGACGAAGAAAUUGGGGAUGCAUUUGGUCAUGUAUGUUGGGACGAUUUAUCAGACAGAAAGUGGCCCUCUCUCGCAUUUCAGUCAAGGGGUCAGAUUUAUGUUUGAUACGCACAGGUUAAAGCAUUCAGUGUUUCUGCCUUCUAAUGGGCUCUAGAACUUGUUAAUACGCUACAUUUUCCUCUAGCAAUUAAUUUAUAGAUUACUUAAUUUGAAUAUUUCUUCUAAAAGUAACAACAACUCCACUAAGAUCCCAUCAAUAGUUCAGAUUCAUCCAGUAAUUAGCAUUUAAUGAAGGACAAGUUCACUUAAUACUCCUCAUCCACAAGGGGUUGGUAAAAAGCCUAACACCACAAUAGAGAUAGACAUAUAAUCUGAAUAGCAGAUUCAUAUAUCGGAAGCAUUUAAUUCAUAAUUCAUGAACAGGCAUGGGAGUGAAAAGUAUUGGAGAGGGAAGGGUAGUUUUACAGACCUGAACCUGUGUUUGAAGACCUUUAAUAUGCUGAACGGCCAAAUCAAGCAUGUCUGCAUAGCUUGUUUGCUACAACGAAUAUUGAAACAAGAUUAAGAGAUAAGUAAGAGAGAGUGGUUUGACAUAGCAAAAGAAGGAGGCAGAAAUAGAAACAAUACCUUAUCCAUAUUAGGUACAAGGUCCUGCAAUUUCUUGAGCUUUCCACUUAUUCUGGUUCUUCUCUCCUGCGUGUUGAAUUGGACGGAAUUGAAUAGAAGAAGGAGGAAUGAAUGAGAGUGAAAAAGGUAGGAGUAGGUGAGUAAUUACCCGCUCUGCAAUGCUGCGGGGAUGAGUAGCGCAGCCUCGCUUAGCGCGGAUUUUGCAAGGGACGGAAUCUUCAGGAAUGUGCAGGAGCUUCUCAACCGUCGCCAUUUCGAGAGUGGUCUGAGGAAGACUGAACUGAGACUCCAAGGCGUUGAGGCAAUGGAGAAUGUCUUGAUCGGCGGAGUUGGAGUUUUUGGAGCGCUUCGGCGGGGGAGUGGAAAAGGCGAUGGAAUUGGAAUGAGAAUGAGAACCGUCCCACGGCUCCAUUCCGAAGCCGGCAUGGUCGCCGAGCACCAAAUUGUUACUGUUAUCGCCGCCACACAGAGAUUCUUGGCAGUGACCCGUGAAGCUCAACUGCGACUUCAACCGAGAGCCCCGCGUGAUGGUGAACCCCGCGCCUGCGUCGCGUUCGGCAAAAAUCAACCACGUGGACAGACAACUGGGCCGGGCCCGCGUGGGCCCGGCCCAAAAGGAUCAUUUAGAGUAAUAAUAAUAAUAAUAAUUCAGGAAGAGUAAGUUAGUUACCAUUGAGCGUGUGGUUGUGGUUAUGGUUGGUGGUGGCGGCGGCGAGGUGGGAGAGGAAGCCGGCGGGAGAGCUUUUUUGACGGAGUAAGGCGGAUCCGAGGGCGUGGUUGUGAUACGAUGUUUGGUCCUUGCUGGUGGAGUCGGGAGAGUCUCCUCCGGAAUAGUAAGGGGUGGGGUUGGGGCGUGAUCCUCCGAUGAGGGCGUCGACGGUGGUGGUGAGGAGAGAGCCGGGAGCGGAGCCGUAGCGCGUGAGGCCGGUAGGCGCGUGGCUCAUGGAUUGAGAGGAGGAGGAGGAGGAAGAGGAGGAGGAGGAGGGAUACAUGGAGGAGAAAGCAGAAGAAAGCAGAAGAAGAAGGUUUGGUUUGGUUGGGUUAGAAAAAGAAGGUGCAAUAAGCAAUUUAGAUAGAGAUAGAUGCGAUGGCAUUGGUGGGUGUAUGCCACUUGUGGAAUACUUUAAGGCUGCAUCAGCAUUCUGCAAUUGUAUUGGCUCAGUGCCAUUUGGGUCACGUGCCACUUUUUUUUCAACCACGUCCCCAUUCAUGGAAUCAGAAUCUUUUCAUUCCUUCUCCCUUCUUUUUUUUUCUCAAUCUUUAUAUUUCGAAUCAAUGGAUGAUUUGAAUUCUGAUUGCUGCACUUAACGGGUACGGGUUCGGGUACGGAUACGGGUACGGGUAUGGGUUUCGCUCUCAGAAACCUGAGAUGGUUGAGCUUGGUGGUCGGAGUUUCCAACAUGGCGGUGCUUCUCAUGGGUGCCUUCCUCAUCUUCCAAAUUCACCUCCUCUGCCAAGGCCGCUUCGCCGUUCCAUUCCUCCUCGUCUCCCUCGCCGCUCCCAUUAGGGUUGUGGUCAUGUUCCACACCGCAUUCGCCCAGCAAGCCGCUGCCACCCUCAUUCUUCAGGACUCCAACGAUCUCCUCACGCGCUUCCGCAGACGGGUGGGUAAUCCCAUCUCCUCCUCUUUUUUUCAAUCUUCAUUUUCUCAUCAAUCAAUCAACAGGCCAUGUACAAGAAAUGGCUCUGCUGGAGUCGAUCUUCCGCCGUCGUUAUCGUCCUUCAAUUUCUCCUUGCGCUUUACCUUGUUCUCCACUCUAUGCGCCAUUUCACCUCCAACAAUCAUUGUCUUUUAGGUAGGUGAGUCAGUUCAGGAACCCACUCUUCUCCAUCCUUCUUUCAGCCCGUUCAUCCUUCAAUCUUAACCAUUCAAAUGCAGAUUCCCCGUGGAACAGCACCUGUUUAUCCGUAUUCAUCAUCCUCGUCUCUUUCGUUGCCGUACUCCAGUGCUUCACGGGAUCCGAUGUUAUCAAAUGGAGGUCUUUCUAUGAAACCCAUGAUCACGCUUGGAAAUGCCACUAUGUCGAGGUCUUCGAUAAUGGCAUACGUGAGACCUUGUGUUGUCUGGGCCGGGUCAAAUAUUUGUAUACACCUAUUACUUGACCUUACCUACGCACAAUGUUUAUCACUCUAUCUUACCUCUGCUCCUUUUAUAACUAACACAGGGGUGCAGCCGAAGAAGAUGAAGUCUAUUCAGUUGCACGAUUACUGGGUGAUCUUGUUGCUUAUCGUGCUUCCGGAACUGGCCAUUUGGAACUCUUGGCAGGUUUCUUCUAAUUUUUUAUCUCAAACUUGUUGCCUUUUUAUGCUUUAUAUGUCAUACAAUUAGGAUGACGUGGCAUAUUAGUGCAAUAAUGUUGACCCCGCCAAUUUUUCAUUAGGAAUACAGCCUGAACCAAUUUAGUUUCACCUGCAUGUUAGCUCUUUGUAAUUUUAUGACAUUGAGUUUUUGUUGUUCAGCUUUAGCUUUACUUCAAAGCCAUGAAAAAUCUACAGAAUCCUAUGAAGGAUCCAUGGAAGCGCCAGAGAUGCGAAUUAGGGAGGCUGAAGCUCUUCAUAAAUUUGCUGAAGCUGCAUACACAGUAUUACUAUAAUAAACUAAUUCUAAAUUAAUGUUUUGUUUUUACUAAAUUGUUUUGAGCAUUUAUUUUGCAUUCAAUGAUGAAUACAGGGUCCAUUGCUUGAUGUUGGACGAAAUCCAUUAUUAUUUCCUUGUGCGUGGCUGUAUAGACAAGGGAUUUUGUCUCCUUGGACCCGAAACAGGUGGCAUUUUGUUUCGAUAUUCUGUUUUAAGGUCUUUAUAAUCGAAUUCUUACUUUGUCAGUAGCACGAGCUUUUUAAUGUGAGUGCUAUUGGUUGAGUAUUAUACCUUUGAGGUCAAGGUGGUCUUGAUACUUGUUCUUUGUUGUAACUUCGAAAUGAUAUAUAAACUUCAAACUGUAUAUUGCUUAUCAAUGCAAGGUGUGUGGAGGGUUGUACUUUCUCCGGUUUGACUGAUCCUCAAGUUUUUCCUUUCCAUUCAGUGUCUCUAAAGUGAUGCUUUCCCCUCAUCUUUAUAGCUUUUUCCUUAUCUCUGUUGAUAUUUCUUUCAUCUUAAGAAAUGAAAAAAAUUAUUAUUUCCUUGUAGUUUGAUUUAUUAAAUUGAUACAAAAUAUGAUGUAUCCAAAUAUGUUAGCUUGCUAGAAAAGUUUAAGUUCGUAUGAACCGUUGUGUACUCAUUUUGUUUAUUGGAAAUUUUGAUAGAAGAGUCAAAAUUGUGUUUCUUGAUUUUAGUUCUGGGAAGGGAGUCACUUCCACUUUUGAGGUCUAUGAUUUUUUUGUGCCUUGCAACGUUGAACAAUUUCAUGAAUCAUGAAACAAAAACAUUAUAGUCAAAGUUCUUAUGUUAGUGGUGAAUCUUCAACAACAAAGUAAAUGUGAAGAACGAAGAAUAGUGAAUGACUGAAUUGGGAAAGGAGAGGCUAAAAGAAUAUGCGAACAAAAGAAGAAAUGGCUGAUGAUGUACUUGCUUUUACUCAAUUACCACUGUGCAUGCCCGAGUGUUUACAAUAGAAGUUUCUGAAUGGUUGUUGAUAUUUUUAUUUAGAACUUAUUGGCGCUCAGGCAUAUUGAUUUAUAUAUCUUUGGUUUUCCUGUAUUCUGUGUCUCCAUGUCUCCCUUUCCGUUACAUCUUUUUCAACUUACAAAUUAAAAAGUUUCAUCUUCGACAUUGUGAUUUCAUGUUCCUGUUUCUUAUCUUCUUAGACGACCUGUAUUGGAUGGUGAUAACUGGUGGCGAGGUCAUGCUGCGGCCUUUCUAAAGUACAUCAAUUUGCCUCCAGAAGUGCUUAGACAUGGACGAGUCAGCCAGGUUAGACGUGGAAACGAAUAAAGUUCUGUACAAAAACAUUUUAAUAAAGUAUAGAGGGCAAGAUGGACAUGAAUAUCUGUAAUAAUAAAUAACAUUGUCUAAAAUAUGUUGCCUCCAUUUAUGUUGUAAUUUUAGUUACGGGAGCCCAUCAUCAAUAACAGAAUACUCACCAAAAAAGGUAGAUGUCACGAACCAACAAUAGUAUGAUUAUUUUGUUUAGUUUGAUCAUGUGAUCGAUGGAGAAUUUUCAGAACUUCAAUUUAUUUUAAAAUUUCCUUUCCAAACUAUAUAUUUUGUCAUUAAACAUUCAAAAUUUUAUAUAAAGUUGAAUUACCCUCUAAAUAUCCUCAUCCAAACACACUAUUAGGUUUUGUUAAAAUCAAGGAAGGGAAGACUUUAUAGCAAAUUAUGUCCUCUAUUUUGUGUUAAGCCCAUUCCCUCUCCAAAGCCGUUUCCCUUAAUAUAUAUUGAAGUCAGCACGCUCGUUUGUGUGUUUGCUAAGCAUGAUAUUGUAUAUGCUAUUUUUUUGGUCAUUUAUCUUUCCUCCAUUCAAAUAUCUCUAAUCUCUCAAAGUGUGUAAAAUAAAUUCGAUUGAGAGUGGCUUUUUGGAGCAUACUCGAUCUUCUUUUGCAAUCUUAGUUUAAGAAAGCUUGCUCAUUAGGCUAGUCAUAUCUCAUUUAUUGAAUGCAAUGUUUCUUUGUAAAGUGGGUUUUUACUUUUUAACAUACUAAUUUGAUAAAUAUGAACAUAACAAAUGAACUGGUAAGUAUAGAUUUAUUUAUGAACUUAUGUAGAUUUUGGUUUGAUCAGGGGGCUACUUUACGUACAAUGUAAACUGACUGACUACCCCAUUUUUCUUUUCAUUUGAACUCAUCAGUCUAUGUCCUUGUAUUUUGAUUCCUAAUGGUUGUAAAUUUUUAAUUUUAAAAUGUGGCGAAACUCAGCUCUAUCCAACUUGAGAUGAUAAUAUACUAAAUUUAUGUAUGAUUUAUGAAUAUUUCUGUUUUUAUACUAUACUGGCUUAAUUUAUAUUUAAUUAUUUAGAUACCCAUGCCAGGUCAAGUGUCAAGCUGCAUAUUUUGUUGUGGUUCUACAUCAUCUACAAACUGUAGUAAUUGCUAUACGUGGAACUGAAACCCCAGAGGACCUAAUAACUGAUGGGUUAUGCAAGGAAUGCUCCCUUUCUGUAGAUGACUUGGCUGGCUUGAUCAAGUAUUUUUCAUUCUUCCUCCUUUUGUCCCCUCUGAGCAUUUUCACAAACAAGUAGAUAACCCUAGGGUGGUGGUGAAACGUUGCUAAGAAUUCCCAAUUAAUUCAAUUCAUUGAUAAAAUUCACACAGGUUGUAAACAUUGUAAUACACUAGUACCUACAGCUCAUAACACAUAUACUGAAUGUACAUACAAGGUUUCCUUGAAAAGGUGACGGGGUGAAAGAGUCCAAUAACAAUUGCUUUCAACUUUCUUUUUAAUGUCAGUUUAUCAGCAUCUAUCCUUAUAUCCUGUUUGGGUUAUGAUAGAAAGAUGAUUACUUUGUUGGCAAAUGCUGUGUUGUUGAAUAGUACAUGUAUACCGAUGCUAAUGAGUAAUGACAUCCCUAUUAGUUAUAAACUGUUUAUAAACAAAGGCUAAUGAGUAAUGACAUCCCUAUUGAGUUACUUUUAUCUGCAGAAAUCAUCUUCUCUAUAUACCUUAUAGUUUCAGUUCCAAUGUGUAAUAGUUUUAUAUGGGCCAAGCUGUAUAGAUCCUUUCUAUGGUCCAACACAAUAUUCUGGUCCCUCACUUCAAUAUUUUAUGUUCUGUUUGCAGUUGCAACUACAUUCAUUAUGAUAUAAAGAAAAAUGUGGCUUCAUCAUUCCCCCACUAUGGGCAUUCAGGCAUAGUUGAAACUGCACGAGAGCUUUUUAUGCAGAUUGAAGGAAAUCCUGAAAGGCCUGGUAAGAAAUACUUCAGGUUUUUUAAACUCGUGGUUCUUUGUUCUGGAGAGUUGGUCAUAUCAAACUGUUUCUUCUUCCUCUUUCCUACGCCAUUGAGGUAAUUAAGUAGGAAGCUGGGUAAGGAAUAAAAAGGGGAAAGUUUUUAUUGGGAUGCAUAAAAAUGCGUUCUCUUAUGUUUUUCUAGUACAUUCUCACAUGAUUUGUUAUAAAAACUUUUUUCUUUUAAUUCCUUAAGCAGUGUCCUUCCGCCACAUGUUAGCAAGACCCAUUAAGUAAAACAUAAUACCUUUUAUCAGUUCAAUGUAUGGAACUGAAAUUGUAUUUAAUUUAAAAGCAUUUGACUUGAUGACAUAAAAUAAAUUUCAUUUCUGACAAAAAUUGUUUUCGAAGUGGAAAUGCAGACUCUGAAUCCUAUGGACUUCUUUCUAAAUUACUGGGAUUUGGUUGUGAAUGCUUUGGGUAUAAUGUGCGGAUAGUUGGGCAUUCACUUGGGGGUGCUAUAGCGGCAUUGCUUGGAGUGCAAGUAUGACAUUUCUCACUUAAAUAGGAAUAGUUACUUAAUGUUCUUCUUUAGUAAACAUAAUUUGCUAUUUUGAUUGCUUCAGAGAACUAGGUAUUCAUUGAAAGUCUAUUAUGAAAAAAAAAAAUAUAGGCAAAACGAAUAUUCCUUGCUUCCUUAGGAAAUACAGAUUGUAGAUGCAAAUUUGAAGCUGGCUCGAGGUCACAAGCAUGGGAUUGAAUUCUGGCCUUAUCACAAUCUGCAAAUUCUCAAUUUCUGAAUCUUAAUGAGAUGUUACUCAAAUACAAGAGUUGUUACAAUUAAAACUAAAACCAGCAUCCAUCGAAAAAGAUUUGACUAAACAAGAGAACAAAUUUGGUAAUCGGAAGUAGAAAAGUUAUGUGGAAUAUAUAAAAGAAUUUCAUCACUGAGAAGUCGAAAGACUUAAUCUAAGACAUGUACAAAUCUAGAAUGUCAAACAGAAGCAUAAUUAUAAGAAUUCAUAUUCUAAAAAGAAAAAACAGAGAAACAUAAUAAAUAAUUAUAUAAUAUUUAUAUUAUUUAAUUAUAUUUGAUUCUAAUACUCAUGUUAGAUAAGAUUAAGGUGUUGUUUCAAAACUCUUUAAGCAUUGAAAACUAUGAAGGACUAAAAAAAAAUCAUAAAUUGAAGAUUAUUUAAUAAACUCAUGCGAACAUUUAUUUAGUCAUUAAAUCACCAUUGUUUCCUCUUGUAUUGCAUCAUUUAUUUUUUAAAUGCAUAUAAUUUCCUUCAAGUUUUGAACAUGCAUUCAGCACUUUUAAAAUUUUCCAUGCACUGUUUUGUCUUUUUUUAUGCUGCCGUCUUUAAGCAUUUGAUUUUAUAGCACCAAAUAAAUUCUGGUCUUUUCCACAGCUUUAUAACCGCUACCCUAAUCUGCACGUUUAUUCAUAUGGGCCACUCCCUUGUCUGGAUUUAGUUGUGGCAGAUGCAUGCUCAGAAUUUGUGACAAGGUAAUUGUACUAGUAAAAUGUUUGAUUUUGGUUGACUCUCUUUUGGUAACACUUUUAGUUUCCUUUCUGCUUGCUUUUAUUCUUUAUGAUGCAGUAUCAUAUUUGGAAAUGAAUUUUCAUCACGCCUUUCAAUUGGAUCCGUCAUGCGGCUAAGGGCAGGCGCAAUCACAUCACUAUCACAAGAUCCUAAAGCAGAUAGUGCCAUGAUUUUAAGACUUGCUCGUAGGUUUCUAUACCUAAGCAAAUAUCAGAGAAAUAACUCCAAGGCUGAGAAUGAAUCCGAGUAUCAUUCAGGGGCCAUCAAGGAUGAUCUAAACCAUCAAAUCCGAAGAAGCCAGUGUGAAACUGAUAACAAAGGUGUCUUAUCUUUAAUAACAUAGUAGGCAUGUUGGAGAAUAAAUAUGUCACCCUAUGAGUGUGGGAAAUAGUGUGCAUUCUUCCAUGAUUCCUCGUACUCAGUUUGUGAAAGGUGCUUUUUCUAAAAAGAUUUUCAUCAUUGCAACAGGCAGCAUUGAACAAGAGACUCAGACAAUUAAAGGGGGUUUUGCUAUAGCCGACUAUGGUGAAUAUAUGUCUUUUGAUAGUGAAGAUUGCUUCGACAAUGAGCAUGAAGAAUGCUCACUUUGGUCUGAUGCCAGGGCAAGGGAUCAUUCUGUUGGAAUUGAUAAUGCCAAAUUUACAAAUGCUUUUGCUAAAGAUGCACGUUCAAUUGAUGAUCCAGUGUCUCGGUUUAUAGAUACUGUUCCAGAUUCUGAAAAUCCGUCUUCCAAUGAUCCCCCGGAGCUGUAUCUACCUGGUUUUGUGAUUCACAUUGUACUGGAGAAGAGAAGAUCACAAUCUGAUCUAAGGACGCAGGAGAGCGAUAAUUGUUAUAAAGCUUACGUUGCAGAUAGAGAAAACUUCAAAGAUAUUAUUGUUUCACCAUCUAUGUUCCUUGAUCAUCUUCCUUGGAGGUAAGACAAAUUACAACCACAACCUUUUCUCAUUUCUAAAUUAAUAUCUUUGACAAGUUCUUACCUGAGUGUUGGACUUGGCAGAUGUCAUGAUGCCUUGCGAAAGAUAUUGAAAUCUCAAACUGCUAAAGAUCAACUAACAGAACCUCACAUCAUCUGAUACAACUUACUGCCAUUCAACUUCAAACCAUCUAUACCAUUUUAGAAAAGAGUUAAAUGUUCUUAUUUAUAUAUACCAUAUAUAAUUUCUGCACUUACGAGCCACGACAAUAAUUAUAAGUGGCUAGUGUUAUUACAUGAUCUGAAAGGGUAAUGUAUCAUAAUUAAUUUAAUUAAAUAUUAGCUGUAUUAUAAUUAUUUCGAUUACUGAUAAAUAAAUUGCAUUCUGAUUUAAAAGGAAAUUUGUACCUAUAUAGUAUAGACACUGACAUGAAUACCGAUACGAACACGGAGAUACGUCUAAUUUCUAAAAUGUAAGACAAGAGAAUACGACUAAUUUCUAAAAUGUAGGAUAUAGAGACACGAACAUAUAUAUAUAUAUAUAUAUAUUAUAAUUAUGAAUUAUAUAAAUUGACAAUAAAGAUUUAUGUCCACAAGUAUAUUUUAGUUUUUUUAUGAAAGACGUUUCUUUUGACUAGUUCAAAAUAAUUUGUUCCUUAUUUUUAUAGUCAUAAUAAAAAUUUAUACAAUAAGUUUGAGUUUUUAAAAAAUUAAUGUAUUUUUCAUUUUUAAAAUUGUGUUAAAAUAUGUUAGAAUUGUCAAAAUUUUAAUAAAUAUUUUUUGAAUUAGACAUUUUAUUGAUACAUGUUUUAUAAGUGUCAGUGUUCGAUCUCACAAAUUUGUAAUGUAAUUAUUUUGACUACCAUUAAAAAUGGAGCUUAAAUUGUAUUGUAAUUAAUUUUAAUUUGAUUUCUAUUAAGAGAUAAAUUAUUACAAAAAUUACAAUGUUGAAUUAUAUAACAAUCUAUACUUAGAUACAAAAAUAACUUUUUUGACACUACAGGUAAGAAAAAUAAAACAAAAUUCAUUUUUUUUAUUAGUUUAUUCGCAAAUUGAUUUAAUUUGUAGUAGUUUUUCUAUAUAAUUUUGUUCGCAAACCUUGGUUCUUGACGACAAUAGAAGAGCAUAAGCAGUUUCUGGUUUGAAAGUUUCGUGAAUGUGACUCUGGUGUGCAUCAAGUGAAUUAGUUUUUCUUUAUCAAUAAAAAUAAAUGAAUAAAAUGAGGUAUUUAUGCGAUGUCCCAAUCUUUGUAAAAAAGUCCAAAAACAGGAAAAGAGAGUUAAAAAAGAAAGCAGUUAAGAAUCUAUGACACCAGCACUAGCACUGAUUUUUUAUAGCAAAUUAUGCAGCAGCUGCAUUCAGAAUUAUGCAGCAAGCAAAAUGCAUCCAACAAAUGAGCUAGUUAGUCCGUUGUGGCAGGAAGUGACUGUUGAAGUUGAGUACUUAGAAGCUUUAACCAGUUUUGAUGAGUAAAAUGAAGAGCUUUUGAGGUCGUACGUCUUCAGUUCAGUCUCUUAAAAUGUACUACUAUCAGUAUCCUGCAUGCUGUACCUUCAUCCAUGAUCAAUGAUCAGAAAAGGAGGAAAAAAAAAAGGUAUUACAUAGUCGUAUUCUCGUGAUUAGUGUAUAAAAAGUGAAAGCCUGAUUCAAUGAAAUCAAAUAUAUAUGUUCAAACCAAAUCUAAAGUGAGCCAAACUUUGGAGUGCCACUGUGUGGUUUUGACAAAGCAUGUCAGACAUCACGAUGAUGUCUUGUAGUUGAGCAGGCAUAGACCUUAAGAUUCUGUCUAUUCACAAAGUAACAUCUUUGGAGUAGCAUUAAUCAUACCAACCAAUAACAAUUCACUGUGGUGGUGGGGUUCAUGAUCCAAAUAUCAGAAUUGAAGAUGAUCACUACAAGAAAAGUGCAUGAGGCAAAGCAGUGAUUUAUAAAUAUGAGCACAUAAGCCACAUGUUUGGCCCUUAAACCAGUAAAGUUACAUUUUUAACUUGAUACCAAAUAUGCAGAUAGGUGAAUUUUGAAACUAUUAUUUACUCAAAAGUAUUAGGCCCCACAUGAAGAGUAGAAUUAAUUUUGUUUUGGGUGAUGCAAAGCUGCAUAAGAUCCGAAUAUAGCUUUUAUUGGGUGUGAUAGAAUGAUUUUAUCUGUUGUGGGAAAGCCAUCAUUUUCCACUUUUAUUGAACCUGCAAAUGUAGCAAUGAUUCAAGGGAAGCCAUGUAUGAAAAAUAACCAUGGCUUGUUCAUUUGUCUUCCUCAACUCCUCAAAAUUCUAAUCUCAAAUGCUCUUUGAUCACUUCAAAACUAUCUAGCUACACCAUUUUAUAUAUACUCACAAGAAACUUGGCAGAAUGAGUAAAUCCAGAUGAGAGGAAACAUAAUUUACCUUACUGAUAUGUUUGCUACAGUUUUAGCAAGUAGGGCCCUCUAAUAAAAACGUUUUCAAGACAAACUUGGCCACGUGAUGACUUUUCUUACCAACACUAUUUGACCAAUAAUUGUUCACAUGACAUUUUCUUGUAAUCCUAAUUUUGUUAAUGUUAAAAAAUUAUUAAAUACAAACUAAUUUUAAAAAUUAAAAUAAUUAAUUAUUAUAUUUAUUAAAUUAGAGAUUUAUUUAACAACUAAAAGAAUUUAUUUGUAUCUUAUCAAAAUUUUAACUAUUAACUAUUUUAUAUUCUAAAUUAGUUUUUAUUAAAAUCUAAAAUAUUAAUAACUUUGUUAAUUUAAAUACUAUUUUAUAAAUUUUUAUUAAUAAUAGAAAAUAUUUUAAAUACAAAUAUCUUUUUAGUUUUUAAAAUAAUAUCUGAUUUAAUUAAUAUAGUGAUUAAUUAUUUUUUAUCACUAAAUUUAAUUGUUAUUCAAUUAUUUUGUUGUGUCUACUUGUAUGUAGAUUUUAGAUGCAUGAGGUCAAAUUUGGUGAAUUGGAUAAGGUUUGAUGCUUGCUUGGAAGGUCACUUUCUCUUUAUUACUUUGUGUACUACAUGUUGUCAUUGAUUAUACAACCUCAUAUUUUAAUGUGUUAUAUACUAUCAUUGGUUGUUGUAUAAUACAAAACUCAUAUUCACCAUGCAAGCCUGCACUCAUUAACAUUCAAAGUAAGAAAACACUUUCUUGUUGUAGUGAUAAAACUGUAAGAUAAGAAAAUAAAACACUUUCAAUAAACAUGAGUUAGAAUAUUGGUUAGUUCCACACUAUGGCUGCGUCUAAGGUUAAAAAAGAGAGAUUUGUUGAAAGUAAAGUGAAGAGUGAAAUAGAGAAUUCAGUGUGAUUUUUGGAAUAAUCAGAAUAUGACAACUUGUUUCAUAACAUGUUGCUUUUCUAAGGAACUUCAUAAAUUGAUUGCUGUCCUUAUCUCCACUCUCGCAAACACAACUUUUGUAACACCACUGAAAAUUAAAUAAUUCAAAUUGCACUUUUCUUGCAAACACAAAAAAUCAUUUCAAGUUUUGAAAAAUGAAAUAACAUCAAAGAAGUUUAUGAAGUGGAAGCAAAUACAAAAUUUUGAACCCAGCUUUAUUUUGGGUCAAUCUAUAAUUCACCUUUUGAAAAAUGAGAAAGUAAAAAAAGAGUAACAUAGGAUACCAAGUGAGUGAGGUGAAUAAAAGUUGUGGUAAUUUGAUAGAUUUUGAAAAUUGGAGGAGCCAAAGACUUUUCAAUAUUCAAAUUCGUCUGCUUGGUUAAGGACAUAAGAGAAAUAAAAAUAACCAAAAUGUGGGUCCAAUCAUUUUAUUAAAAUAUAUAAUUUGUUUUCUUUAACUUGCUUUUUAAGAUAUAUAGUAAUGUUUCAAUUAUUGAUGAUCUAUCUCAUCGCAAUAUUCUUCACCUCAAAACCUUCUAUAGGUUCAAUAUUUCUAUUCCUAAACCUGCUUUUACUUUUUCCUAUUUAUUCUUUGAAAAAAAUACCAUCACAUGACUUGGUUCAACAUUUUAUAUGAAACUUUUGUAAAAUCAUGAUUUAAUCUAACAUCUAAUGUGCAGUAGAAGAAUCAUAAGGGUUUGCAUUAAAGUGAUAAAGGGUUUGGUUGUAAUAUUGAAAUAAAAGAGGAAAUGAAUGAGUUGAUGGCAUACAGAUGCAAAGCAUAUGAAUUAUUAAAGGGUAGAUAUAAAAAACUAGAAUGAAAACGACAUCAUAUACUUUUAUGUUUUUGUCCACCAACAUGAUUGAGUCAUUGAAAAUGGUAAAAAUGGAAUGAGAAAGAAGAAGGGAAAUUAAUUGGGAUAAUGAUGUUAUGCCAUCUUUCCUGUUCUAUGUCGGAGCUAUAAGAAGCAUCAAAUCUACGAAAUACCAUCAAUAAUACAAAUCUUAUUGCUCACUACAACUUCAUAAUAGAUUCAAAUUAAUGCCUUCUUAGAAGGUACACUUAGAUGCAUGUUUUUCUUUUUUUUCAUACAGAGUUUCUGUAUACCUCUCAAUUACAUAGCGUUUAAUAUUAUAUUUAAGACACAUAGAUAAAUUAUAGAUUAUUAAAGAAAGUUAUUAUUAUAAAAUUUGUUUAUAUUUUAGGAUAAUAAUUUUAUGUUUUUCUUAAUAGUUUGAGUCUAACGAGAAUUAUAAAUAGGUGGUAUAUAAUUCUCAUGGUUAGAAAAGAUACUAAACUCUAUUUUAUACUUUUAACUUUUUAUUAAGAAUCGAUCAUUAUUUUUAUAUUCUUAUUGACUUAAGCAUCUUAUAAGAAAAAUGAUAAAAUAAUAGUAAGAGGAAGAGAUAUUUUUUUUAUUGUAUAUUCAUGUAUAAGAAAUAUACAGGGAGUUUCUCUCCCCAAAUUACAAUCAAUCUAUAUAGGUAGGAUACUAAUUAUGAGAUUCCUAUCAUUAUUAAAUUAAUUGUAUAUAAUUAAGUAUAAUAUCGUGUAAUAUUAUAUACAAUAAUUCCAUAUAAUUUGAUAAUUAUUAUUUUUUAAUACAUUCUAAGUAAUAUACUCUUAUUGACUUAAUCUUCCGAAAGUCUUUGAAGAUAUAUCGUCACAGCGUUAAUAACAUCAACAUCUGUUUAGUGAUCUGUAGCUGAGCAGUCACAUUGUGGAAGAACAGGUGGAUGAGUGUUAUCAUUUAUUCAACAAACGUACAUGUUUAGGCUACCAUUAACAAGUCCCUCCCUCACCUAAACUCCAAUUUUAAAACAAACAUCACAAGUUUUGGUUUACCAUAUGAACUAUACAUGUAAAAAACAAAAGUUUGAGGUUGCAAGUGUUGGUGUGAAGUUGCUGAAAGUGGUAAAAGACAGAGACAUGCAGAAGCAGGAAGAUGAGGAGAGAGAAUGGAUCGGACAAAAAAUGUUGAAAUUGCAUAGUUUAAGGUGGUGGUGGGCCCCGGCGGCGGAGGGAAGAAGACAUUGUGCUUUUUGCUUUGGUUCCAUUCCAUCAUGCACGUGGUCCACGCCUUCUUAAUUAUCUUAUUAUGCCCUCUCUCACACACUAACAUUUUUCUCUUAUCAUGCUCAUACAUACACAUAAAACCAAAAUGUUUCUCAUUUUCUACAAAAAUUUUCAUCAUCAAACACAAUCAUUAAACAGUGCAGCGUUGCCUUUUUCAUCAUAACAGCUGUAUGCAACUAUAUAUAUAUAUAUACCAUUAAUAUUUAUCCACCCUAAAUCAUGACGUACAUUUUUUCAAUUAAAGAACAAAAAUGCAAAUGAAAUUAAUUUGAAGCUGAAAUUAGCUAAAAGCAAGCAGCAUAAUUGUGCAGUUGGAAGAUGACAGCAGCACUUUUGGUGGUAUUAUUGGGUAACGAAAAGGAAUGGUGGAGCUAAUAAACUUGGUGAGAAGUCAUAAUGAAGUUCAUAAUUUCAAACACCCACAAAAUGAUCCAAACACUUUGUUGAAAGAGGGUAGAAUGGAUAGAGAGAUGAUGUUGCUACUAAUAGUAUGUAUGUAUAAACCCUAAUCAGUGAAGACAGAUAACAGCUAGCUAUGCACAUAUAAUAAUAAAAAUAAAAGAUGGUAUUCUAUCUUCAUUCUCCAACCACAACCAAAUAAAAUAUAUGGUUGGAGAUCUCACAUCGACUAAAGAUUAGAGUCUUUCGUAGUAUAUAAGUGGGUGUAAAUCUCACCUCAUUGAGCCGGUUUUAUGAAAUUGAGUUAGACUUAAAGUUCACUUCGUAAUAUGGUAUAAGAGUCAUUUCGAGCUUAUCCUAGCGAGUGUUUGUGUUGAGCCUAACGUGUCACCCGCUAUAUAUAGUCUCACGCACGGGUUGGUAGUCGCGUGAGGGAGAUGUGUUGGAGAUCUCACAUCGAUUAGAGAUUAAAGUCUUUCAUAGUAUAUAAGUAGGUGCAAACCUUACCUCAUUGAGUCGGUUUUAUGAAGUUGAGUUAGGUUUAAAGUCCACUUCGUAAUAUAUAUCACUUUAGAGACUAAAAAAAUUAAUGAUAUUUAAAGUAAUUUCUAUUAUUAUUAAUAAAAGUUUAUAAAAUAAUUUUUAAAUUGAUAUCUAAUCAUUAGCUCUAAGAUUUUAUCUACUAAUAUCUUAGAUUCUAAAUUAGUCUCUAAAAGACCAAUUGAGAUCAAUUUAAAAUAUAAAAUAUUAGUAGCUAAAAUCUUAGUUAAUUUAGAUACCAAUUUAAAAAUUAUUUUAUAAAAUUUAAUUAAUAAUAGAAACCACAUUUCAUACAAAUAAUUUUUUAGUUUCUAAAUUAGUUUAUAAUUUAGUUAAUAUAAUAAUUAAUUAUAUAUUUUUUUAAAAUUUAAUUGUUAUUUAAUAAAUUUCUACCUACAAAAUUAGCCACUAUACAAGUCAUUUCGAUUGUUAUUUAAAUUAGCGAUUGAGUUUCGUUGUCAAAAGUCUAAACAUAUAUUUAAUAAUGGAUCGUUAGGGUAUAGCUGUUGCUCAUGAGUGACCAAUGUUAUGUUAUUGCAAUUUGUUUCGUUAUUUUAAAUAUAUAUAUUAAAACUAUUACAAAACCCCCUACUAUUUUUAAAAAUUAAUACAUUUUUAAGUCACUAAUUUAGUUGUAAAUUAUUUGUCAAAACUAGUUAUUUUGGUUGUUAUUUCGAUAGCUAUUUCUGAUAAUAAUUUAAUUUAAUAUGUGUAACACAACAAAAUUUAACCCUUAUAAUGACAUCCACUAUAUCUUACUUUAAACUUAUAACAUAUACUAAAAAUUAAAUGAAAUUGUUACAUCGUUAUAUGAACUAAUUAAAAGUGACAACUUAGAAAAACUAAAUAAAAAUCAGAAUUUCAAAUAAACUAACACUAAAAAUAAAUAAUAUCAAAAUUAAUUAGCCACUAUAUUAAUAAAUUAUAUAUUAAUUUAAAGAUUAAAAAAUUUAGUAUUAAUAAUAAAAUAUUAUAAAAUAAUUUUUAAAUUGAUAUUUAAAUUAGUUAUUAAAAUUUUAAUUACUAAUAUUUUAGAUUCUAAACUAGUCUCUAAACAACUAAUAGAAAUUAAUUUAGAACAUAAAAUAUUAAUAAUUAAAAUCUUAGUAGAUAAUAGUUAGAUAUCAAUUUAAAAAAUAGUUUAUAAAUUUUUAUUAAUAAUAAAAAUUAUUUUAAAUACCAAUAAUUAUUUAGUUUCUAAAAUAGUCUUUAAUUUAGUUAAUAUAAUAACUAAUUAUUUUAAUUUUUAAAAUUAAUUUUUAUUUAAUAAUUUUAAUUUCAUUACAAAUUUGAAGUGGUGCCGAUAAAAAAAAAAUUAAAAGUGGCAAGGAGUGAGAAAAUUAAAGGUGAUUUGUUAUUUUGUUAUUGGAAGAAUUUGCAAUUGUACUCAAUGGAGUAUUUUUUUAACAACGUGAAAAUAUACUUUAUUACCACUAAUUACUAAUAAAUAUAUUAGGAAAGAUAUUUGUUGUCUUCUUGUGUGAUUUCCUACACCUAAUUUAGAUGCUCAUAAUAUUUUUUUAAUAAAACAAUUUUAUCACAAUGCUGAUGACACAAAAAUAUAUAAAUUUAUUAAAUGAAACAAUUAAAAAAAAAUGCUAUAACAUAAAAGACAACAAGAAAAUAUAUAGUAGAAUCAUAUUGAAAGUCAUCAAUAUAAUCGUUAUGAGGAUCAUCAUAUCUUGAUUAAAAGCAUCUAUAGUAAUAAGAGUUUUACAAUAUUAUAUAUAGCAUUAUUUAUAUAUUUUAUGUCUCCCAAUAAUAUUAAAAUUAAGUGUCAAAUAUUAAUCUUAAAUAAAUAUAAAAUAUCCUCACGACCUAAAAAGUAUUAUAUCAGUUAAUUAAUUUUUAGUUUGCUGAUAAAGAAAUAAAAUAGUUAUGAUUGCAUACAUUAAAUGAAGAGAUAAUGCUUAUAUCUUCCAAUCUUAUUUUUCUUAUAUUUUCUUAUCUCAGAAGAUAAAAUUAAAAAUAUUAUUUCAUUUUUUAAUAAUUAUUAUUUUUUUCUUAAAAAUUCUUCUUCUUCUUAUUUUUUUUUUUAAAAAAAAUCUUCUGCUUAUUAUUUUUUGUUAUUUUCAUUUUACUUUAUCACUUCAUCUUACGAAUAAAGAUAUUACACUUUAAAUGUGUCAAGUGAAUGAAAUCUUCCCUCUAUCAAAUAACUCAAAUAAGUUUUCAUUUUUUUACAAUAAAAUUGUGUGUCUUCUAUUGUGGUUUCUUACUUCAUAUUAUUUAAAGCUCAUAUUUUUGCCAAUAAAAUAAUAAUAUUAAUAUUUAUGCAAAAAAAUUUAAUCCCAUAGAAUGUUAGUGACAAAAAAUGUAUAAAUUUAUUUUAUUAUAUAAAUAAAAUCAAUGUAAUAUGAUUAACUCAAAUAAACGAUGAUAUAAGUGUUGCUACACAUAGUAAAGUCAUUCCUUAAGGGUAAAUCUUCUUUAUUGAACAUUCUCUCUAAUAGAUUGGAGUACUUUUAAAUAUUUUAUAUUAUUUUAUUUAUUAUUUAGAAUAAUAACAAAAAAUAUAAUAAAGUCACCUUAAUAUAACAAUAAACUAUAAUCACACAUGAGUCAGAAAAUUUAAAUGUAUAAUAAAAUUUACAAAAUACUAUAUUUUUUAAUAAUUUAUCUUUUAUUUGUAUCUCUUUAUAUUGAGUUUUUUAAUAUUUUUUAUCGAGUUUGUGCAAUGUUUUUCUAACUCAAACUUACCAAGGACUCUGAGUUGAAGUCAAAUGAAUAUAAUAAUGUGGUAAUAUUAAAGAAAAUAAAAAAAAAAGAUUUGUAGAAACUUUUAUGACCCUAAAUCUCCUUUUAUAUAAUCUCAGAAAGUACGUUUUACGUCUUUUGAGCCUAAAAUAGUGGAGAUUUAGUUUGUGAUGUGUUUUGAAAAGCAAACAAAUUAUGAGAAGUGUAAAUCAAGUUUAAGAAAUAUGAGAAACUUGUAUAAUUAAGGAUAUUUUAUUAGAAACACUUUCCAGUUUUAAACAAACAACAUAUCUUCCAUGAAAAACUCCUGUAAUUCAUUAAUUAUUAGAACAUAUUAUUUAUAAAAUAUUAUGGUUGUGGGUGUAAUUAUUAUGGUAGAAUCACAAGUUUGAAAAAAUAAAAGUUAUUAAGAAAAUCAUAAUACAAACUAAUUUUAAAAAUUAAAAAUAAUUAGUUGUUUUAUUAAUUAAAUUAAAAUAUUUUAUAAACUAAAAUACUUAUUGAUUUUUAAAUUAAUUUUUAUUAUUGAUAAAUAGUUUUUAAAUUGAUAUCUAAUUAGCUAGCAAUAUUUUUGUUAAUAAUUGUUAGUUAAAAUCUUGGUAAUUAAUUAAAUAUAAAUUUAAAAAUUAUUUAUCAAUAAUAAAAAUUAAUUUAAAAUCUAAUAAUUUUUUAAGUUUUUAAAAUAAUCUUUAAUUUAGUUAAUAUAAUUAAUUAUUUUUAUCUUUAAAAUUGGUUUUUUAUUUAAUUAAGUUACUAAACAUGUAAAAUUAAGUACUAUUAUUCUUAGGGCUUAAUUAAAGCUAAGUGAAUAAAAAAACAUCUGAAUGAAAGCCGUACAGGAAUUGGUUAAAAUUAAUUUUUGUUCUUAAAUGUAAAAAACAAAUGUCCUUUUCCUUAUCGUUUACAAUAUUAAUCUGUGUUCAGUUGCUUUUGAUAUGUGUGCCAAUCAAAAACAAACACAACAAAAUUCAAAUUCAUUAUUCUACAACGGCUAUUUUCUAAUUUCUAUGAUGUCGGUGAGUUUAGUAUUAUGUCUUCUUCAUCUUUAUUACAUAUAUUCACUACUUAACGUUAUUCAACUCAACUAUAAUAUAUUAAUUAUAAACAAUCAUUAAUAAAUAUAAUUAAACUCAAGUCGCAUUCACAUAUAAUUAAAUUAAUCCAUUCUAAAUCGUGUUUACCAAAUAUUCCGUUACCAAAAUUUCAUAUACCAUUACUUUUUUUUUUAAAUCAUAGUCUAAAAUAACUUUUGACCCUUAACUCCUUUUACUAAACUUCAAUUCGAUUUUUAUCUUUCAAAGAAAAUUAUUUUUCAUCAUAUAUCUCUCAAAUUUUUAUAUAUUUUCAUUUCGAAAUCGUCAUCGUUUUUUAUUUUAUGUCACGGUUUUUUACUUUUUUAACUAAUUCAAAAUGUAAAAUCUAUUCUACUGAAUCUGAGGAAAAAAAAAAUCGGUGCUCGUGAAAUUAACUUUUCACGCAAUUUUUAGUCAUUUUAUGAUUUCUUUUAGUUUUAACAUCCAUAAUCUUCUUAUAGAAUAAUCCAACCGAAAACCUUAUGCGUUUUUCAAUAAAUAAUCAAGGAUUCAAAAUAACAUUGAUUUUUUUUAAAAGACUAACUUUAAUAAUAUUAUUGCAUAUAAGUGAGUGUUGUUAACCAAAAUGGAUUUACGAGUUUUUGUUGUCUAUAUCCAAUUAUAUGUGAGGAAAAGUGAAUGUAGAAAGAAAAAAAAUAGUUUCUAUAUCUUCAAUUUGAAAGUGUACCGAAAAACAAUGAAUAAGAAAGAACGAAUCAAUUAAUGAAAAAUAUAGUUUGACAAAUCUUUAAGUUAUAUACAAUCUUUUUAAAAAUAAAUAUAUAUAUAUAUAAUAAAUGAUAAAUUUAUAAUUAAAUAAUAUAAAAAAAUAUUAAAAUAAUAAUACUGAGAAUUGUAAUAUGAUUGUAUAAGAAAAAAAAUUGAGUUAUCUAUAUAUAAUUAAGGUUGAUUUUUAAGAAAUGAUCAUGAUAAUCUCACUUUCCAUUAACUUUUCUUUUCGAUUCAACACUUUCCUCUUCCUCAAUUUUAUAUUUAAAUCCAAACAAAAUAACAGAUAAAUGUUAAAAUAAAUCUUUUAAAUAAUAAUAAAUAAAUACAAAUUUUAGUAAAAAUAUUAAAAGAGUUUAAUUUCAAAUGUAAUAACUAAUCAAACUCAAUAUUAAGAGUAACUAAGAAAUUUGAAAAUAAAAUGUAUGAAAUAGAUUAAGUAACUUUGUAAAGAUUUAAAUUUGAAAUGUAUAACAUACUACUGUAAUCAUUAUUACUAGCGGAAAUAAACAGAAAGCCUUAUUUUUUAAAUAUUUUUAUAUAAUAUUAUUAUACUAUAAUUUUUUAAUUAAUAUAUGGUAAAUUUAUAAAUAUAUAAAUGAUAAAAUAAAUUGGAUUAAUAAGGGUAUUUUCACCAUACUAUUUUUUUAAAGAUUAAAUUAUAUAUAUUAAAGAUAAAAAAUAUUAUGUAUAUAUAUGUGACCAUUAUUUAUAAAAAAAAGUUCUUUAAUUAUUUUGAAACAAAAAUAAUUAUUCAAUUAUUUAUUUUAUUAAAUAAAUAGAUAAAUUACUUUUGUCAAAAGAUAAUAAUUACACUUUUUCUUUUGAAAAAAAAUACAACUAAUAUAAUAACUAUUGAAAUACAAAUAUAUUAUUAAAUUACAAAAAAACAUUUUUAUUAAGAAUUAUUAUAAAAAAAAAGAAAUUCAAUUCUGUUGUAUGUAAUUUCUUUCUUGUGUAGGUGAUUUUUUUAUUAAUCUUUGUUUUUUUCAAAUUCAAAACUUCUCUAAUUUAUUUAAAAUUCAAGAUUCCAAUUCAAAAUAAAUAAUUGUUAAAUUUAUUAUAUUAAAUUAUAAAGUAUAAAUUGAAAAAUGUGUACAUGAAACCCCUUUCUAUAUCAUAGAUUAUAAAUAUUAUUAACAAUAAAAAAUAUAUAUUAAAAUUAUAUUGUAGUUGGAUUUGAGUCAAUUUUAAAAAUACAAACGGCAAGAUCUGAACCGUUCCCCUCCAUAGUUAAAAAAGAAAUCCAAACAAUGCAAAAACAGAAUCUUUUUCUGUUAUUAGUUAUUUAAUCUUCUAUCAGUUUUGUUUUGUUUUGGAUCUGUGUGCUUUUACCCUAUUACCACCAAAACAUUUAUAUACAUCUUCUAAAACAAAUAAAAUUCUCUUAUUUUUUCUUAAAAAAAAUAUUAUUUUAAAGUUAAUAAAAAGUUGAAUAUUUUAAAAGAGUUAAGAAGAUUUUAUGUGCUGCCUUUCCCUACACAAAAAAUUAUUUUUGGUCUUACAAUAAGGAUAAAGUGUAAAGAUGUUAUCUUUUAAACACAACCAUAAUUGAAAAAACACAUUUAGCAUUUAAAUAUUCCAAAAAAACAGCUCUUUUUUAGUCUUUUUAUUUACAUACUUUUCUUGAAAUCUCAUAUACAAAAUGUAGGGUGUCUGCAGCUUGUAUUGUCUAAUGAAUUACCUUGGUUUUAUCUCAUAAAUUUUGAGUUUUUUAAGACCAAAAUCUGGUUCAGGUUGAAGUCACCAGAAGACACCAACUGAGAAAAUAAUGUAUUUAAAUAGGUAGUGUUAUGUUACUGCAUUAAGGAACUGUUAACAGUUGUAACAGAAAAAAAAGACGAAUCUUAGUUAUUUUUCUUGUGAAUUUAUCUAAAAGCAAAUCAAGUAAGAGGAAAUACUAUUCUUUCAUGAAUGAAUCAUGUGAAAAUGUGGAUCAAGAAACGUCAAAAGAAGGGUAUAAAUAAUAAAAAAAAUGAGAUAUUUUUAUGAAAAAGAAUGAACACACAUACAUACAUAUCUGUCAUCUCAGAACGUAGGUAGAUCUACACAGGCAUACCUACAGCAGCAGCCAGCAGCCAUCACCACGUGCAAAAAUAAAGAAAAAAUUUCAUCACAUUUUUAAUUGCUGUCAAAUUUUGGCCUUAUAACUCAGCAGGGAACACAAUUUACUGCUAUAUGUUAUCCCAUAUUCAGUCUUCAUUCAUCAUCAGAGAAAUAAACCAAAAGGAACAAUUUUGAAUGGAUUUUGAUUUUUUCACAUUUUAGCUUUAACAUAUGUUUUGGUCAACAACCAAUUCUGAUAAAUAUGCACGUGUCACUGUCAAUGUGUCCUUCAUAAUGGUAUUAUGUCCUUUGUUGUCACCUUAACUUCAGGGUGCUGUUUUCUGUUUGGACCAAUGACAGUUUAAAUCUGAUACCAAUUCACUCUGCUACACCUAAUGGUAAUAUGUCACUUUUUGCAUAAAAGAAAGAAAUUUCAUUUCACAUCUCAACACCAUGAAACCAAAGUCUGAAUUUUUAACAAGAGAACUUCAUAAGUGAUGAAAAAGUGUGAUCAGAUGCAGAUGGGGUGCUGAGAUUAACGGCCAGAUGGAGAUAACUUGAGUCUGCAUAUUGUAACAACUUGCACCACACCUAAACGUGAGAAUUUGAGGACCAAAAGUGGUUGAUGGUGUGGUCCUCCAAAGAUCUUCAAUACAACAAUUAUAUGAUCUUAAAAGAAAAGUCUUUCUUUUGAUUAUUUUUUUUCACUGUGUUUUACUCCUAUCAUUCCCACAUUAUAAGCAUCGAAAGGGACUCACGUUUCCUCUAUCAACUGUCUGCCACUGUGCAAUUCUUCUCUCUUCCAAUCAUAACUUUUCCACCACAUCUCCAUCUCAUUAUGCAUGCAUCCAAUCUCCAAUUUACGUUUAACUUUUCUAACCAAUUCCAAGGGAUUUAUUAAUUUCCUUAAAUUCAACAACCCUUAUGAAUUUUAUGUCUGUUUACACCCCAAUUCAGAGAUGUUAUACCACACGGCAUUGACUAUCAUAAACAAUGCAGAGAGAUGAGAAAGGUGGCUAUUAGAAAUUAGAAAAAUAGGUUCAAGUAGGUUCACAUGGGGUCACAGUUAAUGCACAUACCCUGUUGUAAUCUUGACCAAUGGGGCAUGUAAUUACAUGCCCUGGCACACCAACUUAGCCUUAAGAAGAAGGGUAAGUAACCCAGAUGAGAAAAGUUGCCACAUUUACCUUCAAACCAGUUCAAGAAUUACCCUUCUGUAAAAAUCCCAUUUGCAGAGAAAAAGAGAUUAAUUAGCAGGGAAUCUUGACUCUUGAAACCAUAUGAAACUAGAUAUGUCCGGUGCAUCAUAGAGAAACGUACCUGAUUUUUCCUACUUUUGGACAGUAGGGUCAUUUUUAAUUGCCAAAUGCUUAGUUGUUUGAAUUAUAUUAUAUUAUCCAACAGGGCCAAAUAGUUCUAUGAGGGAACAUUAGUGUGCACGUUCCAUUAUUCAUUCAUGUUACACUUAUUCAUUAUUCAUGUCAUAAAUCUUUGUUACAUGACAUUGGUCAAUUGCCAAACCCAAUGCAAAUAUUUGAAAUUCACCGGAGGAACAACAUGUUAGAGACAAACCCAAUGAAUUCUUCAGAAGCAAUUAUAAAUUAACAAGUGUCCAAACAGAAGCAUUUACAAAGAGUGGAUGGUCCAUGAGCUUCUUCAAAAGUGUCGUUUUCUAGAGAUGUAAAGCAAGGUAGCUAAAGUUGAAUGUAGAAUGCAAGAAAUGAAACCAUUCUGGAAAUCACCAUUUUCCCCUGGUUACUGUUUUCUAGUCCUUUUUUAUGUUGGCCUCUAAAGUUCUGGUACCACGAAUUAGCUGUAUAAUAAGCAGCAACGUGCACUUCAUGCUGGUGUUGACAACCUCACAUGUUAAUCUCAUCAUUGAGGAACCACAUGGGUGAGAAAAUUCUUAAAGAAAGUGAAAGAAAAGAAAAAGAAAAAAAGCAUAAACAGGUGAAGUGCACCAAAGUUGUACUCUUCUCAUGGCAACUUCUCAUUCUGUCCACCCCACUGGAAUCAACGUAUUAAGGCAAUAUUUGAUUUGUGAAGGUGUAUAAUUGCGGAUAUACGGUAUAUAACAGAUUAAACAAAUGGAUGAUAGUUGUGUGUGGGAACCCCACGAACACGUGGAUAGCAAAUUAAGCCAAAUUUGGAUUAUUCUUUAUGAGAAACUGCCAAAGGGUUGUGUUCCAAAUGUACUAAAAAAAAAAUGGUGUUGAAAAGUCAAAAUAUCUUGACCCUUGAACAAAAGAGGAUUCGAUCCAAAGCUUGCAAUGGAUGGCAUCGAGGAGCAAUGGAACAAAAAUGAUGAGCAGUGAUGGAACCGUGAUGCAAAAUACAUUAUUGUUUCCCUUCCCUGGAAAACAGUAGGAAGAAAAUGAGUAAAGAGAAAGAGAUAAAAGAAUAAAGCAUAGUUUAAUGGGUAGUUGGAGAAAGGAAUAGAGGCUUAAAAGGUUGGAGGAAAACAAAAGAAGCAAGAGUUUACGAAACUGUGGUUAAAGAAAGUCACAAGGCCAGCUGGGGAAGCUUAUUUUAAAGCAUUAUAUCAAAAUGAAAGGUAUUUAAUAGUUUGAAUUGGUCCCUCAUGACAGCUCCUCUUUAACGACUCACUUUCACUAUAAGUACUAAGUAUUUCAUGCAGCUUUUGUCAGUCAUAUCAUCACUAACACCAUAACCUCUUUCUUCUUCUCCUUCCACCAAUUUCAGUGAGGAUCUGAGAAGAAGCAUUGCUCAGAGGAACUCAGCUUUUUCCUUCUACGCAUGACUGCAAGGGGCAGAGACCCCUCAUGGGGUCUUCUCUGGCCGCAAAUGGCCCUCGCAUUUUCCAUUGCUCUCCUUUCUUUCACUGUGGUUUCUGUCAAUGCUGAUGGUUACCCUUACUAUUCUCCUCCUCCUCCUUACGAGUACAAAUCACCACCUCCUCCACCUUAUGAGCACAAGUCUCCUCCUUAUGAGUACAAGUCUCCACCUCCCCCAUCUCCAUCUCCUCCUCCUCCUUACGUCUACAAGUCUCCACCUCCACCACCAUAUGAGCACAAGUCUCCUCCAUAUGUGUACAAAUCACCACCUCCUCCAUCUCCUUCACCACCACCUCCUUACGUCUACAAGUCUCCACCUCCUCCUCCUUAUGUCUACAAGUCUCCACCUCCUCCUCCUUACGUCUACAAGUCUCCACCACCACCUCCUUAUGUCUACAAAUCUCCCCCUCCACCACCAUAUGAGCACAAGGCUCCACCAUAUUAUUACAAGUCACCACCACCUCCUUCCCCAUCUCCUCCACCUCCUUAUUACUAUAAAUCUCCUCCACCACCCUCUCCCUCACCUCCUCCUCCCUACUACUACAAGUCUCCACCACCUCCUUCACCAUCUCCUCCUCCACCCUACUACUACAAGUCCCCACCACCUCCUUCACCAUCUCCUCCUCCACCCUACUACUACAAGUCCCCACCACCACCCUCCCCAACUCCCUACUACUACAAGUCCCCACCACCACCAUCUCCAACUCCCUACUACUACAAGUCUCCACCACCACCAUCUCCAACUCCUUACUAUCCAUCCCCCACUCCUUACUACUACAAGUCUCCACCACCACCAUCCCCAACUCCCUACUACUACAAGUCUCCUCCUCCUCCUUCACCUACUCCUUACUACUACACUUCUCCACCACCACCCAAAUAUCCACCUCCCUACUAUUAUAACUCCCCUCCUCCACCUGUUGUGUAUCCCCCACACCCCUACCACCCCCACCCCUUGAUUGUCAAGGUAGUGGGUAAAGUCUACAGCUACAAGUGCUAUGACUGGGAGUAUCCCGAGAAGUCUCACAACAAGAAACACCUCAAAGGUACACACCUUAUUUUUCUCAUUUACAAUGCCUUCCAAUUAAUGUUCUCUGUGUUACCAUCAAACUGUUACUUUCCUGCUUCUUUGAUGUUCAUUAGCAGCCGCUUUUUGGAGUUAGGAGACUCCUAUGUUUCCAUAAUGGAAAUGUCUUUGUUUUUAAAAUUCAGUCACUUUCACAACCACCUUUUCUUAUCUGUCUGUUUUUCUUAUAAUUAACCUUUUGAGGUUAAUUAACGUGUUAAUAAGGUUUGAGGGAAAAAAACUGAACAGAUUCAGAGCGUCUAGAGUAAUGCACAAGUGAACAUUUUAUAAUGUGGUUAAUAGGCAUUUUAUAAUUUUAAUGAUAUAUUUAUCUGCAUUGAUCUGUGCAAGUAUCUUUAUAUAAAUUAAACAAAGAUACUAAAUAAAUGUCUUAGAUUAUGUGUGAUUAUCUCCAAAAGGAGAUUCAUAAAAAGGAAAAGAAAAACAGAAAUAUAAUUUAGAAGAAUCGGCUAAUGCCUGUAAUACAUUAAGAAAUAAUCAACUAGACACUUUAUAUAUGAACCUUUAAAUGAUUCUUAAUAUAUAAUAUAAUAUGGUAUCUGACAAAACUUUCACUUUAAUGAUAACUUGGUGUGUGGUAUGAUCUAUGAAUUGGAAUUAAGCAUUUUGGGGUGAAUGCAGGUGCUACUGUUGAGGUUAAAUGCAAAGCAGGAAGAAACAUCAUUAAGGCUUAUGGUGAAACUAAGAGCAAUGGAAAAUACAGCAUCACAGUUAAGGACUUUAACUAUGUGAAAUAUGGAUCCGUAGUGUGCAAGGCCAAGCUUUAUGCCCCACCUAAGGACUCUCCAUUCAACAUACCUACAAAGUUGAACGAGGGAACAGAGUUGAAGGUCAAAUCCAAAGACAAAUAUGAAGUUGUGUUGAAGGCUAAGCCAUUUGCUUAUGCUUCAAAGAAGCAUUUCAAAGAAUGUGAAAAGCCUAAGCCUUCACCAACUCCAUACUAUUACAAGUCACCUCCUCCUCCAUCUCCAGUUUACAUAUACAAGUCACCACCUCCUCCAUCACCUACUUAUGUUUACAAGUCACCACCACCACCAGUGAAGUCACCUCCCUAUUACUAUCAAUCUCCACCUCCACCAUCACCAAAACCUCAGCCUCCUUAUUAUUAUCACUCUCCACCUCCUCCAACACCAGUUGUUAAGCCACCAUACUACUACCAAUCUCCACCUCCUCCAUCUCCAAAACCUAAGCCUCCAUACUACUACCAAUCUCCUCCUCCUCCAUCACCAAAACCUAAACCUCCUUACUACUACCAAUCUCCACCUCCUCCAUCACCAAAACCUCAGCCUCCAUACUACUAUCAAUCUCCACCUCCUCCAACACCAGUUGUGAAGCCACCAUACUACUACCAAUCUCCACCUCCUCCAUCACCAAAACCUCAGCCUCCUUACUAUUACCAAUCUCCACCUCCUCCAACACCAGUUGUUAAGCCACCAUACUACUAUAAAUCUCCACCUCCCCCAUCACCCUCUCCUCCACCACCAUACUACUACAAAUCUCCACCACCACCAUCCCCAUCACCGCCACCUCCAUACUACUAUAAAUCUCCACCUCCACCAUCACCGGUUGUUAAGCCACCAUACUACUAUAAAUCCCCACCUCCCCCAUCACCCUCUCCUCCCCCUCCAUACUACUAUAAAUCUCCACCUCCAUACUACUACCACUCUCCACCUCCACCAUCACCAGUUGUUAAGCCACCAUACUACUACAAAUCUCCACCUCCACCAUCACCCUCACCUCCCCCUCCAUACUACUAUAAAUCUCCACCCCCACCUUCACCAUCCCCUCCUCCUCCAUACUAUUAUAAAUCACCACCACCACCAUCCCCAUCACCGCCACCUCCAUACUAUUACAAAUCCCCUCCACCUCCAUCCCCAUCUCCACCGCCUCCUUAUUACUAUCACAGUCCUCCUCCACCAUCUCCCACUCCUCAUCCUCCCUACUACUACAAAUCCCCUCCACCACCAACGUCCUAUCCUCCACCUCCUUACCACUAUGUGAGCCCUCCACCACCUUCUCCAUCUCCACCUCCACCAUACUAUUACAAAUCACCACCUCCUCCCUCCCCAGCCCCCGCUCCAAAGUACAUUUACAAAUCACCUCCACCUCCAGCUUACAUCUAUUCUUCCCCACCUCCACCCAUCUACAAGUAAGCUCGGAUUGUGGAAGCACCAUUCACCACAAAUCAUGUAAGUUCAGGAUUCCAACAUUGAUCAUAAGUAAAAUUAGUUAAUUAUACGUGUAUGAAUUUUAGUAAUGGAAAUUCCCACUGAAUUAUUUU
This 51284-nucleotide long non-coding RNA is filed under the name Phaseolus vulgaris (common bean). Its description in RNAcentral is "long non-coding RNA (PVUL_LNC001945)". The record is from RNAcentral. Lineage: Eukaryota; Viridiplantae; Streptophyta; Magnoliopsida; Fabales; Fabaceae.